UCUGACUCUCAUGUCAUGAGGAUGUGGUGCUUGUUUGUCUUCUCGUUGUUCUUGCAAGGUUUGGAUUCGAGGUCGAAUCCUUUUCAAGAAGGGAAGGAUGGUACAAGUCAAAUGGCCACCUUUAUUUUUGAAGACAUGAUUGGAGGUCAUCAUUUAAAUGCUCAAGACUUGGUCACCCUGAGGGCACAAGAAUACGCAAGGAAGACCCGUUUUGAGCACAAGCAAGGUCAUGUGUGGAAGAUUGCUUGGAGCAUUGAAGACUUGAGGACUCACGGUUUUGGACAACAUUUAAUGGGCCAUGAUUUGGUAAUCUUCAUUAAGGGUAUUUUGGUCACUUCAUUGGGUCCAAAUGCACUCCAUGGCCACCCCACCCUUUAAGGGCAUUGAUGUCAUUUUAUCUUGUCUUGUAAUAGAAUAUAAAUAGAACAUUUUAGGUCUUUUUCUCAUUAGUUGUUCAUUGAUGUAAGACUUGAAAGAUGAAACACCUUUAGUUGUAGGGCUUGGAAUAGCCACCACACCGAAAUGAGGGCAACAAUUGUGGAUAUCACUUAUGUUGCAAUAUUGGCUUGAGACGUUGGUGUUUAGAGAAGGUAAAGUUCCUCUUGUGUCAAUGUAGGAGUUAGGUUAACCGUUUUGUGUAGUGUUAAGGUUCCAAGAUUACCAUAUUCUUGGAUUCUUAAGAUUAUACCAACCAAGGUCUAACUAUCUAUCCAUUUUGUUUAUGUUGUAAUCGUUUGUUUGUCUUCUUGUAAUUCAAGUCCGUGACUUGUCGUUCUUGUUCCAUUGUUGUUGUUCUUCAUCUUGUUUUUGUUAACAUAGUUUGUUGUUAGCUGUUUUUAGGUGAUAAACACAUCAAUAUAUUGUGUUCUUGUUGUUGUUUGUUGAAUCCGAGUGUGGUCUUUCAAAGGGUCCUCGGAUAUUUGAUCUUGUGGACUGAUUUUGAAGUGUGUUUUGUGUUGUCCUUGUAAUUCUUGUAUCAGGUUGUCUUGAGGACAGCACGCACGGGCUCAAAUCUAGGUCUCAAAUUUUAUAAAUGUGUAAUUAAUUUUAGCCAAAGAAAGGGAGAAUAGCCUAAAAAUGAUAUUAUGUGGUAUAAUACUAGUAUUUGUUGUUUGGAAAGGUGUAACAUGGAUGUAGUGAGAUUAAAUAAAUAAAAAUACUUAUAUGUUUCCAUAAUGUUAAUAAUGUUUUUCAUAGAAUCAUAGUUGAUCAAACUACACAUCAGCUUAAAAUUGAGUAGCAUGGUAAUUAUAGAUUAUGCUAACAAUAUACAAAAGAUUAAAUAUGCAUUUUAUGAAGUCAACCAUACACCGUAUUAGUUAUGACAGCACAAUGCACGUUAAAAUUUCAUGCAACAAUACAGUUUGAUAAAAAUAGAUUUAGUGCAAAACCAUCAUAAUUUUCAUAAAAUAAAAACAUAUUUGUCAUAUCCUAACAACAGAUCAUUCAACUCCCUUGUUUAUAAAAAAAAAAAAAAGUCUUAAACAUUGACAAUAUUAGUAUUCAAAUAUCUUUUUCAUCAUCAUCACAAAUGUUAUCGUAGAUGAAAUCAACAGUAUCCAAGACCGCAUCUUUUUUGUCUGCUUCUUCUUUUGUUUUUCUUGUCCAUCUUUUUUGUCUUCUCCUUCUUCUUUGUCUAUUGCUUCUUCCUUUCCGUCUCCAGCUUCUUCUUCAACAAUUCUGCCAUUGUCAAUUCAUAGACCACAAGUCUAUUAAAAAGUGAAAAUAACUAAGAAUUACCCCACCAUUAAACAAUUCACAAAGUGAUGAGCAAAAAAUUUUCAAUCAAACAUGUAGUAUCAAAACUCAACUGUUGCUACAAAUCAAACUAAUUAGCUAUUAAUCUUUUAAUUUCAAUUAUUUCAUCAAUCGUAUUUUAAAAGAAUUCCAUACACCUAAAUAUUAAUUUCAUAGACCACAAGUCUACGGAUAGAAACAGGUCACUACUCGAAUUAAAUAGCCAAAAUAACUCAUAAAUUAACAAUUAUUCCGCCAUUCAAUACUGCAGUGCUCAAAAAAUACCAAAACUAAAGAAAAAUUCCUUAACAAAAAAUUUAAAAUUCAACACCGUGAUUGGCAAAAAAAUCUAUCAAAACUGCCGAAUUAAAACUCAACCAUUGCUUCAGAAUCAAACUAAUUCCCUAUAAAAUUCUCAUAUUUUAACUAUUUAAUCAACCACAUUCGAAAAAAAUUCCUAUACUACAUCACUUCAAAAUGGUUAAAAAUAAAAAUUGAUAAAAUGGGUCUACAAAUAAUUAAAACUUGAUUUUAACUUACUUUAUAAUGCAAAAAGGAGCCCUUUGUCGCUGAAGAAGAAAAAAUAUAAAAAAAAAUAGCGUUUGGGAGAAAAUUCUUGAGAGUAGAGGAAGAGUUGAAGUUGAAGAGGAGAGAGAAGAUUUUUUUUUUUUUUUUGAUAUUGAAAUAAGUAGAGAGUGUUAAGUGUAUUAUAUUAAAUUGUAAAGUUGUAAAAAUGAUGAAAUGGUCCCUCGGCCCACAUGUGGGCCCCACUUUUACUACUUUUCCAUACUAUUUUAACCUAAACCCUAAAAAUUAAAUAACAAAAAAUUAAGUGGGUAUAUGACAAAAUAGUUUUGCCAAAGUAUGCUUUUGCCAAUUUUUCCCUGACCUCAUGUGUAUAUGUAUAUAUGGGUAUAUAUAGCUAUAUGAAGCAAUGGUACCACUGUAUAUCCCUUUCUUCGUUGUUCUUAUUGUAUAUUUAUUUCUUCGCCUUGUAUAUUGUUAGAUAUCUUUCUUUCGCCCUUUAUUUGUAUAUUAGCCUAGGAUAUAUUGUAUACAUUGAUGUCUAUUAAGUUUGGCUGGAAUAGGAUAGUUAUCUCUUGAUACUUCCUUAGAGUUAUUAUGUUAGACUCUUGGACAUGAACAAGAUUGUUGUCCCUUAUUAUUCUCAUAAACUUGUUAUAUGAGUUAUGGACUCUUGUGUGUAGUUUCCAUUCUGUUUAUAUACUGUUUAUAUAUUGAGUACCAUUCAUUUGGUACUCAUGCUAUACUUCUGCAUCUUGCAGAUCAUAAGUAUGGGUUAUCGCCAUUGAUGUAUGCGUCGUGCGGAGCAGCCCUGGUUCAGAGACUUAGAGUGAGCUUCUGGCGUUCGGAGUAUUACUUAUCUCUCUCUUAUAUUAGACUAGUCUCUAUAUUAUAUUCAGAGAUAAGUUGUAUCAGUAUAAUUCCUUGUCAUUUCAUUUUUGUAUUCUUAAUAUAUUAGAAGCUCUCGUACUUAUAUUAACAGAUUUUGGGAUUCACUUAUGUGACGGUCUUUAUCUCAUUUAUUCUGCAUUCUUUUCUUUAUAAUAUUGAUUAGUCCAUUACUAACCAUUUCAGACUAUGGAUUGGCUUUUCUACUGGUGGGUUAUGGUAAGCGCCAUCGUGACCUGAGAAAUUGGGUCGUGACAAUCAAGAUAUUAUUUAAUAUAUUUUCGGAAAAGGGAACAGAGUAGCUUACAGACUUGCUAACGAACCCCAGCAAAUGCCUCGCUAGAAGCUAGGGGAGAAUAUAACAUGGACAGGCUACAUUUCCCUCCAUUUAACAUGGACAUACAACUACAAAUCCGUUCAAAAGGAACAGAAACUUGGACAUUCUUUACUCUUUUGACGUUCUUUGAUAUAACUUUUGUACAUAGGAAUAGCCAUAUUUUUUUUGAGCUUAUAUUGAAAUCCUACCUUCUUUGUAAUGAAUGGAGCCUGUUCCGUUCAACUAAGUAAACUUUCGAGUUUCGAUCCCUUUUUAUGCAUCUUACUUUUCUUUUAUACUUUAACGAAUCAAGAAUGGCACUUUUUAUGAUUAGUUACUUUUUCAUAAUUUAAUGUUCAAGUAUAUUAUACACAUUUUCUAGUUUAUUUUCCUUCUUUUGAUCAUCAAAGAAAAGUGUUAUGAAUCAGGCCGAAAUAAAGCAAACCACAAGCAGAAAGAAAAUAAGAGCACACAAAUUUACGUGAAAAACACACAAAUUUACGUGGAAACACUUGCGGGGAAAACCACGAGCUGAGGCAAAGGAGGUUUCGCUAUAAUGGAGAGAAAGUACAAUGUGGAGAGACAUUAUUUAUGAAUAAUAAAAAUUGACCCACUAAUUGCACUUAUAUAAUAUGUGCAUACAAAUAAGCCCUAGGCCCAAAAACAUAAAGGUCCAGGGGCGGAUGCACAGCUUUACGUCGGGUUUCCGGAAACCCAUAACUCUUGUACGGUUCUUGAAUUUAUAUUGAAAAAAUGUCAUGACCCGAUUUCUCAAGUGAUGAUGGCGCCUACUUUAACCCACCAGUAGGCAAGUCAAGCCUUAGUCCGGAAUGAUAAGUAACGGGCUAACAGCAGAGACCAAAUAAAAGAUUACGUAUAAUGAUAGCAACAACAAUAAUAAUUGAAAACAAAAAAAAAGUCUAUAUAUUAUAUCAAAUAUGAGAGGAGGAAAAAUGAACAACUAUACAAUGAAUCCCUCUCAAGACCUGAUAAGUUCAGUACUAGAGCCGCUACUACCAGAUACCCAGAGUACCAGACAAAAUCUAAAAUGUCCACAAUAUACAUAAGUAGUCUCGAGUGCAAAAGACUAACUGGAGUACAUAGAGGAAGAUCAGCCUCGGACGACAGCAAGCUCACCCUGCUCUAAAUCAGUACUGAAAGGUAGGAAUCACGUCAAUGUCGACUGCUAGUGCCUGGAUCUGCAUCAGGAAAAAGAUGUAAAAGUGUAGUAUGAGUACCAAAAACCACAGGUACUCAGUAGGCAUCAUCGGUCGACUGAGCUCUAUACAGAAAAGGUAUAACUACAAUGUGAGGGCGUAAUCUGAAUCUUCAAUAAAUAGGGAUGGAAAGGCAACCAAAUACCAAGCUACGCAACGACUGUAAGUGAAUAAACGUAAGCAAUAAAAAAAUGCAGUAAUAACCGACAAAUCAAACAUAACCUAACUGGGCCCCCAUAGGCCCGCUAGGCACAUAACAUAACCUAACUAGGCCCUCAUAAGUCCGCUAGGCACACUGAAGAAGGCAAUUAACCCAUCCGUACUUCCAUAAGCCGGUGGGAUACACAAGUAAUGAAAAUAAACAUAAAUAAUCUAUAACUGCGCUGAUCCCCAUAAAUCAUAAAAGUCUUGCAGAUGUGCACUGUACUUGAACCGGAACCAAUGGGAAAUAACAAGAGGCCAGAUAUAUAGAAUUCAUAAUCAGAUGCCAGACUAGAAUCGGAACUCAUAGUAACCACAAUAACAUUUGUCAGACUCGAACCGGAACUAAUAUCAACCAUAAUAAUCAUUUGCCGGACUCGAAUCGGAACUCAUAGUAACCACAAUAAUCAUUUGCCGGACUAGAACCGAAACUUAUAGUAACCAUAAUAGUCAAUUGCCGGACUCGAACUGAAACUCAUAGUAACCAUAAUCAUAAUCAGAUUCCGGACUCGAACCGGAACUCACAGUAACCAUAAUAAUCAUUUGCCGGACUCGAACCGGAACUCACAGUAACCAUAAUAGUCAAUUGCCGGACUCGAACUGGAACUCACAAUAAUCAUAAUAAUCAUUUACCGAACUCGAACUGGAACUCACAGUAACCAUACCAACCAGAAAUAUUAAAAUUCAUACCAUAUCAUAACAAUGUCAAUGUCUAAAUAAUCAUCCAUUAAUCUUAAUUAAAAAGGGAUAAAUUUAAGGUUUUCCAAUUAAAUUUUAUGUCCCAAAGUGAUAGAUGUUAUAUUAUAUUAAAAGAUAAUCUUUUUCAAAAAAAUGUACCAAAACGGGAUCCUAAUCCGGAUAAAUAAGACAAUUUAUAUAUUUAUCAAAAAUAUACAUCAACAAGGAUUUAUCCAGGCUAACAUAAUAGUUAACAUUUUCAAUAUAUAAGCUCAAUCUAAAAAUAGGGGUAAACCUAGCCUACCUGGACGCCAAAGCUAUAAUAUCUUUCCGCAAAGCCUCCAAAUAAUACUUCACUAGAAGCCGAACUUGAAUAGAUGAAUAUGGAUAUUUUACUAGAAAACUUAAAUUUUGAACAAAAGGAGGAAAAAUUAUAGAAGAAAGAGUAUUACACUACAAAUGCUAAAUAUUUCCAGGAAAGAAAUUAAAGUGGCAGAAAAGCUGCCCUUCUCAUUUGUUAAAGGUUAGAUAAAUAUAUACACACACUUACUGCAAGCUCUCUCUUUUUCCUUUGUUUUAUUCACUUAAAAGUGAUUAACAAAGCUAGGCCACAAGUGCAGCCAACAAAGUAGUCCACCCAUCCGCUUCCAAGGAUGCGGUGGUGGUGGUCACACCAAUUAAUUUUCUGUACAGUAUAUAUAUAUUUAGGUAUUGCAUAAAUUCGUAGUAAAAUAAUUACAGUUUUAUGAAUAUAUCAUAAUUAAUAGAAAAUUAUUUCUAACAAAAUCUCUAUUAUAUAAUAAUAAUAAUAUUUUAAUAUUUUUAAAAUUAUUAUCUCCGCUUAAAAUAUUAAUAAAUCAUAAAAAUCUAUUAUAAAGUGAUAUAAAUAUGUCAUUAAUUAAAGAAUUUUACAUAUCAAAAAUAUUCUAGGAGGAUGCUAAAUUAAAUUAAAUAAUUCAUGAUACAUUUUGAUAGUAGUAAAAUUAUAUAAAAUGCAGGAAAAUGACCUAAGGGUCAUUACAACAAACUAGUAAAUAUAUAAGAAUUAUAAGUUGGGAACCCACAAACAAAGUGUGUUAUUGGUCUAAUUGUGAAAAAAAAGCUUACUAAAGCAUAGUUAGGAACCCACAAUCUUUAAAUUCUAGAUCCGCCUCUGUAAAGGUCCAUCACAAACACGGGUCGCACGCAAAACUUUCUGGACCAGAUCAACAAAAUUUGGGUCACAACUCUAACAAAAAGGAUUUUUAUUUGGCGACAUGGUGGAUCUAAUGAAGUGGAUAUACAUGAUAUGAUGGAUGGGCUCGUCAAAGUUGUGUUCUUGUUGAAACUCGAUUGAGAAAUGAGAGGCAUAUGAAAGGUUCUUUUUUUAUAUAUCUUGUGUAUGUUACAUUGGUCUAGUUCUGUGUGUUCAACUGAAUUCGCUAAUUUUAAUUUUUUACUUGUGAAAAUAGUUACAUUUUUUUUUUAAGUUGGGUGUUCAACAGGUAAAGGUAACAGUCUUAGCUGAGGUGUCAAAAUGAACAUUGAAGCUAGCUUGAGGGGGAAAUUAUGUCUUUAACAAGACUUUAAGGUCAAAAGUCGAAAGUUUUAUCUGCCCAUGAUGCAAAACUUGCAGUUUUGCCCAAGGGGCAAGCGGACCACCAAAUUUCAUGGUCAUUAUUGUAAAUUGCCUUAUGUAUUGGGUUGAUAUAAUAAGUUCAUACUCAUUCUGAACUCACAAACUUUGUAUUUGUGUGUUAUUUUUUAUACACUGUUGUUUAUGUAUCUUGGCAGCCUUUCCGGACUAAUUUUUGGCGAUUAGUUAGGCCUAAGAUUAUUCUCACAUGGUAUCAGACCAGUUUCGUCAAUCCAUAUUGUGGUGCUCAAUGUUGAGCCGAACAAAGUGAAGAGAUCGAGGAGAGGGAACUAGACAAACACUUGCAAAAGAUCAUCCAACAAAUUUAAUCAAUCUUCCUUUAACAAUCCUUGAUAAUUUGGUUUUAUAAACUCUAAAUUUAUACCCUAGUACUAUCAUUAUAUGUACAUGUCACAAGUAGCGAUUACACAAAAUUAUGGCAAGUUAAUUUACGUCAAGUUAGUUGACCAUCAGAAUUGUCAAGGGUAGGCUGAAAAGACGAAUAAAAAUUGAAAUAUUUUUAUUAUUUUUUUCAUUAUAUUUAUUAAAAUUUUAUUAUUAUUAUUAUUAUUAUUAUUAUUAUUAUUAUUAUUAUUAUUAUUUUAUCCAAAUAUUAUUCUUACAUUAAGGAUUGUCUACUUUUUAAUUAUAUAGUUUUUGAUGGCUAGUUCAAAAAAGUGAAGAUUUUAGCCAGAAUAUUAUCCUGAUCAUCUUUUUAGUUCUUUAUUUUUGAUCAAAUCGACUGGUGGCACUCCAUUAAAGUGAGGGGUAUUUGUGAAUCAAAAACAAAUAUAGGGGUAUUUUUGAGUCAAAAAAUAAAUAAGGAUUAUUUUUGCUUCAUUUUGAAAAGUUCAAAGUAAUUUUUGACCCUUUUCCAUAUAUAAAACCCUAAUUAACCAAGACCAACUUCUUUAUCACAAAAGACAAAACCCUAAAUUCUGUUUGCAAAAUCUGCAUAUCUCCAAUGGUGAAAACUAGAGCUUCAAAGAGGAGAAAACCGGUAACUCAUGUCCAGUUACCCGAAGAAAUCAUCAUUGAAAUACUCUCUAAGCUGCCCAUAAAAGUACUGUUGGAAUUCAAGUGUGUUUCAAAGUCAUGACUUGCUUUAAUCUCUUGUCCUGAAUUUGUAAAAACUCAUCUCAAUUCAUCAGCUAAUAACAAAGAAUACAACAACCAUAGAGUUAUUUUGAAAGACAUGAAAGGCAAACUCAAGGACUAUUCUCUACGAUCAUUACUUUACAACCCGAUUACUAGAGACUAUUUUGAAACCUACCCACUUUCAAAACUUAUUUGGAGAGUAUAGAUAAUAAAUUUCUUUUUGAUUUAUUUUUUAGUGUUAGAGAUUGAAAAAGGCAAAAAGUGGGCCAGGGUUGUGGGGUCAGGGACCUCUUUAACAUUUUAAAAACUUGAAAAAAAAUACAACUUUUAAAAAAAUACAACAUAGUUCCUUUUUAAUAUUUAUUAAUUUUCCAAACAUUUAUUAAAAUCAUUUAAUAUUUUCAACAACGUUCCUUUCUCCUCAAAAGCCUUCCUUGUCCCGAUUUUAGUUAAUAUUUUUCGUAAAAAAAAAAAAGGUUUUGUGCGAUUCUUGCUCCCUCAGUCGAAAUUAUUCAUUUUCUCUUACUCAGGUCAGUUUAAUCUUCUUCCCCGAUCAGUUUUAGAUUCAUUUUAGUAAUUUUGUAAUUCCAUUUUGUGUUGGGGUUCUUCUGUUUUGACAAAAAUUGAACUGUUCUUCGUUGAGUUAGUUGAAAUUUGACUAUUUUUAGUUAAAAUUGUCGAUUCCACAUGUUUAAUCGUGUUUUGCUUUGGCUAAUCAGUAGAAAGUUUUUAAUUUUUUGUACUUAUAUUGCGUAUUGAUUUUGAAUUUUUUGUACAGAAUUGGACUCAUUUAAUGGUGUUCUUGUUGUUGUGAAUUGCACUUUCGAUAUUUGGUGAAAUUGGAACUUGAUUUACAUGUUUGAUGUGAGACGUUUUCACAUUUUUCUUAAUAGAUCAGUGAUCGAUAGAUUAACCACUACAUAUUUGUUUUUGCUGCAUUUUUUUGAUUUUAUUAAUAGAUCGACCACUGCAGAUUCAUUUUUUGUUGUAGAUCAUAAAUGGUGAGAAGAGUUCAUAGAGCAGUUAAAAGGCCUGCUUCCACUUCUUCUAGAAGUAGGAAGUGAAACACCGAAGAAGUUUCCAAAACCUCUAAGAGGAAAAAACCUGUAGUUGAUGAAUCCGAGUCGGAAACCGAAUAAAAAAUUCUUGCCAAAAUUUUUGAAUAUCACGAUAGUAGUGCAUACGAGAGUAAGGAUGUUGAGGAUAGUGAAGGGAAAAGCGAAGAAGAAAGUGAAAGUGAUAGCAAGAAAUACGAGGAUAGGAGAGAUAGCGGAGACUGGGAGGAGGAGGAUCCCCUAUCCUUGCCAGUUUGUGUGAGAGAUUCCAAGAAACGAAUCAAGAUUUGGAUUUUCAUCCUUCAACCUAAGUAAUCUAAGGUACAUGGGAUUUUUCUAAACUACAAGCGCAAGUUGAAAACAUUUUGAGUAAGGUUUAAAAUUAUGAAAUUGUACUGUUAUGAAGGGUUUUGAAAUUACAUUAACAAAUAUGCAUUGUGAACCCUUUUGAUGAUAAUGUUUUGGUCUUGAGGCCUUCCCAUAAAAUUGAUUUUUGUUCGUAUAUAUAUGUAUGUAGUUUGAGAUUGAAAGUUGAAUUGAGACCAUGAAUAUCUAGACCCCCUCUCUUAUUAUGAAAUCACGUGAUUUUCACGUGUAAUAAAUUGAUGAAUUUCAUAUUUAGAAGCAUGACAUAAAGGUUAUUUUUCCAACUUUUGAUCAUCGAAGAAACGUGUUAUGAAUCGGGCUGAAAUAAAACAAACCAUAAGCAGAAAGCAAACAAGAACAAACAGAUUUACGUGGAAACACUUGCGGGGAAAACCACGAGCUAAGGCAAAGGAGGUUUCGCUAUAAUGGAGAUAGAGUACAAUGUAGAGAGACGUAAUUUUUGAAUAAUAAAAAUCUACCCACAAAUUGCAUUUAUAUAAUACGUGCAUACAAAUAAGUCCUGGGCCCAAAAACAUUAAGGUCUAUCACAAACAUGGAUUGCACCGCGAAACAUUCUAGGCCAGAUCAACAAAAUUCAGGUCAAAACUCUAACAAAAAGGAUUUUUAUUUGGCGACAUGGUGGAUCUAAUGAAGUGGAUAUACAUGAUAUGAUGGAUGGGCUCGUCAAAGUUGUGUUCUUGUUGAAACUCGAUAGAGAAAUGAGAGGCAUAUGAAAGGUUCUUUUUGUAUAUAUCUUGUGUACGUUACAUUGGUCCAGUUCUGUGCGUUCAACUGAAUUCACUAAUUUUAAUUUUUUACUUGUGAAAAUAGUUGCAUUUUUUUUUUAUGUUGGGUGUUCAACAGGUAAUGGUCCUAGCUGAGGUGUCAAAACGAACAUCGAAGCUAGCUUGAGGGGGAAAUUAUGUCUUUAACAAGACUUUAAUGUCAAAAGUCGAAAGUUUUAUCUGCCCAUGAUGCAAAACUUGAAGCUUUGCCCAAGAGGCAAGCGAACCGCCAAAUUUCAAGGUCAUUAUUGUAAAUCACCUUAUGUAUUAGGUUGAUAUAAUAAGUUCAUACUCAUUCUAAACUCACAAACUUUGUAUUUGUGUGCUAUUUUUUAUACACUGUUGUUUAUGUAUCUUGGCAGCCUUUCCGGACUAAUUUUUGGCGAUUAGUUAGGCUUAAGAUUAUUCUCACAUGGUAUCAGACCAGUUUCACCAAUCCAUGUUGUGGUGCUCAAUGUUGAGCCAAACAAAGUGAAGAGAUCGAGGAGAGGGAGCUAGACGAACACUUUCAAAAGAUGAUCCAACAAAUUUAAUCAAUCUUCGUUUAAUAAUCAUUGCUGAUUUGGUUUAAUAAACUCUAAAUUUAUACCCUUGUACUAUCAUUAUUUAUGCAUGUCACAAGUAGCGAUUACACAAGUUUAUGGCAAGUCAAUUUACGUCAAGUUAGCUGACCAUCAAAAUUGUCAAGGGUAGGCUGAAAAUACGAACAAAAAUUGAAAUAUUUUUAUUAUUGUAUUCAUUAUAUUUAUUAAAAUUUUAUUAUUAUUAUUUUAUCCAAAUAUUAUUCUUACAUUAAGGAUUGUCUACUUUUUAAUUAUAUGGUUUCUGAUGGCUAGUUCAAAAAAGUGAAGAUUUUAGCUAGAAUUGACCCAUUAAUCCAUUCGUCCUUCAAAUAUUAUCCUGAUCAUCUUUUUAGUCCUUUAUUUUUUAUCAAAUCGACUGAAUUAAUCGAUCAGUUUUAUCUUGUUUUUUGUAGUUGCGAUUAGUUUUUUGGUAUCCAUUUUAUUAGUUUUGAUCAAAGGUGUUUCACUACGGACUAAAUAUGCUCAAAAUAACAUUUAAAUUUUUGAAAAAUAAACCUACUCUAUUCACCAUCCCACUAAUUGCAUCAAAUAUAAAACCUUGCAUGAAAUUGAAUUUAGUCAGACUUCAAUACUAGUAUCGGAUACCGUCAUACCGAGUGCAAAGAAAGAACUAGAUGGAAAGUUUAGAAUUUACUUAAAUGCCUGAUCUAGGUGGAUGCCGACGUGGACUAGUCAUGUGGUGAUUUUCUUUCACGUGGCAUGCUUGGUGGAAUUCCGUUAAAGUGAGGGAUAUUUGUGAGUCAAAAACAAACAAAGGGGUAUUUUUGAGUCAAAACACAAAUAAGGGUAUUUUUACUCCAUUUUGAAAAGUUCAGGGUAAUGUUUGACCCUUUUCUGUAUAUUAAACUCUAAUUAACCAAGACCAACUUCUUUAUCACAAAAGACAAAACCCUAAACUCCGUUUGCAAAAUCUGCAUAUCUACAAUGGUGAAAAAUAGAGCUUCAAAUAGGAGAAAAUUGGUAACUCAUGUCCAGUUACCCGAAGAAAUCAUCAUUAAAAUACUCUCUAAGCUGCCCGUAAAAGUACUGUUGGAAUUCAAGUGUGUUUCAAAGUCAUGACUUGCUUUAAUCUCUAGACCUGAAUUUGUAAAAACUCAUCUCAAUUCAUCAGCUAAUUACAAAGAAUACAACAACCAUAGAGUUAUUUAGAAAGACAAGAAAGGCCAACUCAAGGACUGUUCUCUACUAUCAUUACUUUACAACCUGAUUACUAGAGACUAGUUUGAAAUCUACCCACUUUGAAAACUUAUUUUGAGAGUAUAGACCAAAUUUCUUUUUGAUUUAUUUUUUAGGGUUAGAGAUUGAAAAAGGCAAAAAGUGGGUCAGGCUUGUGGGGUCAAGGGCCUCUUUAACAUUUUAAAAACUUAAAAAAAAUACAACUUUUUAAAAAAUACAACAUAAUCCCUUUUUUAUAUUUAUUAAUUUUCCAAACAUGUAUUAAAAUCAUUUAAUAUUUUCAACAACGUUCCUUUCUCCUCAAAAACCUCCCUUCUCCCGAUUUUCGUUCAUAUUUUUUGAAAAAAAAAAAGUUUUGCGCGAUUCUUCCUUCCUCAGUCGAAAUUAUUCAGUUUCUCUUGCUCAGGUAUGUUUAAUCUUCUUCCCCGAUCAGUUUUAGGUCCAUUUUAGUAAUUUUUUAAUUCCAUUUGAUAGAUCGACCACUACAGAUUUGUUUUUGCUGCAUUUUUUUAUUUUUAUUAAUAGAUCGACCAUUGCAGAUUCAUUUUUUGUUGUAGAUCAGAAAUGGUGAGAAGAGUUCAUAGAGUAUUUAAAAGGCCUGCUUCCACUUCUUCUCGCAGUAGGAAGCAAAACACCGAAGAAGUUUUCAAAACCUCUAAGAGGAAAAAACCUGUAGUCAAUGAAUCCGAGUUCUUUAUUUUUGAUCAAAUCGACUGAAUUAAUCGAUCAGUUUUAUCUUAUUUUUUGUAGUUGCAAUUAGUUUUUAGGUGUCCAUUUUAGUAGUUUGAUCAAAGGUGUUUCACUACGGACUAAAUACGCUCAAAAUAACAUUUAAAUUUUUGAAAAAUAAACCUACUCUAUUCAACAUCCCACUAAUUGCAUCUAAGGUUGUUAGGUGGGCCGCGCCAGGCCAACCCGAAACCGGCCCAUUAAAGUUAGCCGGGUUGUUGGCAAGCCGGGUCCGGGUUGGGGCAAAGUUGGCUGGGCCGGGCCGGGCUCAAUAGUAAUUUUUUUAAAAACAACCCGAACCCGGCCCACUUAACCCAACCCGGUCAAACCCACCAAAACCCGGUCAAAUCCUGUUAAAAAUUCGAUCAAACCCGGUCAAAAAUGAAAAAAAAAAACUUUUUUUCAAUAUAUACUAUAUAUACCCACCUAUAUACAUUUUAAAUACGUUAAAAAAUAUAUAUAAACUAUAUAUAUAGUAUAUACCACAUUAGAAUUUAAAAAAUAUAUAUACAUAUACACAAUUAUACAUAUAUAAGCAUCAUUUAAUGUAUAUGUGCUAAUUUAAAGUUUAAAUAAAAUAUAAUACAAUAUAUAUACAUUACAAUAUAUAUAUAUAGUUAUAUAGUUAUAUAUUGAUUUAUAAAACAUAUAUACAUGUAUACGUUAAAUAUAACGUCUAUAUAAGAUAUAUUCACAUAUAUACGCUCUAUUCAAUGUAUAUGUACUACUUUAAAUAAAAUAUACUACAAUAUAUACACAUUAUAAUAUAUAUAUAUGUAUAUAUAUAUAUAUAUAUAGAGAGAGAGAGAGAGAUAUACUAAUUUAUAAAACAUAUACACAUGUAUACGUUAAAUAUACACGUCUAUAGAAGAUAUAUUCACACAUAUACGCUCUAUUCUAUAUAUAUGUACUACUUUAUAUAAAAUAUACUACAAUAUAUAUAUACAUUAAAUAUAUAUAUAUAGUUAUAUAUAGUUAUAUACUAAUUUAUAAAAUAUACACAUGUAUACGUUAAAUAUACAUGUCUAUAGAAGAUAUAUUCACACAUAUACUCUCUAUUCAAUAUAUAUGUACUACUUUAAAGUUUAAAUAAAAUAUACUACAAUAUAUAUACAUUAAAACAUAUACACAUGUAUACGUUAAAUAUANNNNNNNNNNNNNNNNNNNNNNNNNNNNNNNNNNNNNNNNNNNNNNNNNNNNNNNNNNNNNNNNNNNNNNNNNNNNNNNNNNNNNNNNNNNNNNNNNNNNNNNNNNNNNNNNNNNNNNNNNNNNNNNNNNNNNNNNNNNNNNNNNNNNNNNNNNNNNNNNNNNNNNNNNNNNNNNNNNNNNNNNNNNNNNNNNNNNNNNNNNNNNNNNNNNNNNNNNNNNNNNNNNNNNNNNNNNNNNNNNNNNNNNNNNNNNNNNNNNNNNNNNNNNNNNNNNNNNNNNNNNNNNNNNNNNNNNNNNNNNNNNNNNNNNNNNNNNNNNNNNNNNNNNNNNNNNNNNNNNNNNNNNNNNNNNNNNNNNNNNNNAUACUACAAUAUAUAUAUAGUUAUAUACUAAUGUAUAAGACAUAUAAACAUGUAUAUGUUAAAUAUACACGUCUUUAAAAGAUAUAUACACAAAUAUACGCACCAUUCAAUAUAUAUGUACUACUUUAAGUAAAACAUAUACUACAAUAUAUGUACAUACUACAAUAUAUAUAUAGUUAAAUAAUAAUUUAUAAAACAUAUACACAUGUAUACAUAGUAUAUAUACGUCUAUAGAAGAUAUAUACACAAAUAUACGCAUCAUUCAAUAUAUAUGUACUACUUUAAGUAAAACAUAUAAUACAAUAUAUAUGUAUACUAAAAUAUAUAUAGUUAUUUACUAAUUUAUUAAACAUAUACACAUGUAUACGUUAAAUAUAUACGUCUAUAGAAGAUAUAUACACAUAUAUACUACAAUAUAUAUAAUAAUAUACAAAUUUAUGAAACAUAUACACAUGUAUACAUUAAAUAUACACGUCUGUAAAAGAUAUAAACACCAAUAUACGCACCAUUAAAAUUAUAUGUACUACUUUAAGUAAAACAUAUACUACAAUAUAUGUAUAUACUACAAUAUAUAUAUAGUUAUAUACUAAUUUAUCAAACAUAUACACUUGUAUACAUUAAAGAUACACGUCUAUAGAAGAUAUAUGCACAAAUAUAUGCACCAUUCAAUAUAUAUGUACUACUUUAAGUAAAACAUAUACUACAAUAUAUAUAUAUAGCUAUAUACUAAUUUAUAAAACAUAUACACAUGUAUAGGUUAAAUAUAUGCGUCUAUAGAAGAUAUAUACACAUAUAUACGCACCAUUCAAUAUAUAUGUACUACUUUAAAUAAAAUAUACUACAAUAUAUAUAUAUAGCUAUAUACUAAUUUAUAAAACAUAUACACAUUAUAUAUAUAGUUAUAGUUAUAUACUAAUUUAUAAACAUAUACACAUAUAUACACUAAAUAUAUAUGUUUAUAGAAGAUAUAUACACAUUUACACAUUAAAUAUAUACGUCUAUAGAAGAUAUAUACACAUAUAUACGCACCAUUCAAUAUAUAUGUACUACUAUAAAUAAAAUAUAUUACAAUCUAUAUACACUACAAUAUAUACACACACUAUAUAUAUAGUUAGAAAGUAAUUUAUAAAAUAUAUACACACGUAUACGUUAAAUAUAUACUACUUCAGAAGAUCUAUACACACACAUAUACCUACCAUUCAAUAUAUGUACUACUUUAAAUAAAAUAUACUUCAAUAUAUAUACACUACAAUAUAUGUACACACUAUAUAUAUAGUUAUUUACUAAUUUAUAAAAUAUUUACACAUGUAUACGUUAAAUACAUGUCUAUAUUUUAGAUCUUGCUCAGGUAAGUUUAAUCUUCUUCCCCGAUCAGUUUUAGAUCCAUUUAGUAAUUUUUAAUUCCAUUUUGUGUUGGGGUUCUUCAGUUUUGACAAAAAUUGCACUGUUAUUCGUUGAGUUAGUUGAAAUUUGACUGUUUUUAGUUAACAUUGUCGAUUCCACAUGUUUAAUCGUGUUUUGCUUUGGCUAAUCAGUAGAAAGUUUUUAAAUUUUUGUUCUUAUAUUGCAUAUUGAUUUUAAAUUUUUUGUACUGAAUUGGACUCAUUUUAAUGGUUUUCUUGUUGUUGUGAAUUGCACUUCCAAUAUCUGGUGAGUUGGAACUUGAUUUGUAUGUUUGAUGUGAGACGUUUUCCUAUUUUUCUUAAUAGAUCAGUGGUCGUUAGAUCAACCACUACAGAUUUCUUUUUCCUGCAUUUUUUUGUUUUUAUUAAUUGAUCGACCACUGUAGAUUCAUUUUUUGUUGUAGAUCAAAAAUGAUGAGCAGAGUUCAUAGAGAAGUUAAAAGGCCUACUUCCACUUCUUCUAGCAGUAGGAAGCAAAAUAGCAAAGAGGUUUCCGAAACCCCUAAGAGGAAAAAACCUGUAGUCGAUGAAUCCUAGUCGGAAACUGAAUAAAAAUUUCUUGCCAAAAUUUUUGAAUAUCACUAUAGUAGUUCACACGAGAGUAAGGAUGUUGAGGAUAGCGAAGGGAGAAGUGAAGGGGAAAGCGAAGAGGAAAGUGAAAGUGAUAGCAAGAAAGACGAGAUUAGGAGAGAUAACGGAGACGGGGAGGAGGAGGAUCCCCAAUCCUUGCCAAUUUGUGUGAGAGAUAUCUUUUUUGAGUCUUACAACCUAACAACCUGGAUGGAUCAUCGAGGUUAUUUUCCUGCAAAUAUUUCCAUCAGAGCAAGAAUGACGGUCUAUCGAGUGUUUAGACGGAUUCUUGUUGAACAUAAGUUGUAUUCUGAUUUUAAGAAGACAAGUUUUGGACACUUGAGGCAUAUACCAAAAAAAUUUAAGUUUAAUGGACAGAUGGUCCAUUAUGUAUUGUUGCAACGUAAAAAAAAAUCAGAAAAACUACAUGAAAUUUGAUUUCGUGUGAAUGGUAAGCCAACUUGUUUUGGCUUAAAGGAAUUUUCUUUGAUUACAAGGUUGAAUUGUUCAGCAUAUCCCCGUGAAUCAAAAGUGAACAAAGUCCUCCAAAAUUUAGAAAGCUUUCAUUUUAAGGUGACGAAGAACAAGAGCAUUACUCCUGCAAAGUUGAUUAGCCUGAUGAAGGGUAAUAGUCUGAAUAAUCAACAAAACUUGAAGUGUGCUUUGGUUGGGUUCAUGCACGUGAUGCUGCUGGCAAAGGAACCAUCAAAGAAGGUGGAUUCUGAUCACAUCAAGAUGGUGGCUGAUUUAGAAUUCUUUGAGGAUAUCCAUGGGGAAAAAGAGUCCUUUGGGUUGACCUUGAGUUAUCUGAAAAAGAAGAUUGAUCUGACCAAGCAAAAAGAAGCUUUUGUCAAGAGGAAUAAUGCAUCGUACACGUUAUUUGGCUUUCUCUGUGCAUUUCUGGUACUUAUAAUCUACCAUAUUAUUGAUUUAUUAUAGACUCCUACAUAUUUAUGCUAUAAUACAUAGACCCUGUAGAUUUAUUUAUUGUAACACCCCGCACUUUUGAGCUAAAGUUUGAACCGUCUUUUGCAUGCGUUUAGACCCGAACCCAAUGAUUCCUCUUAAAUAUAUUUGUGAUGAUCAGUUCCAUAGUUUGUUAAUACCUUUUAAUAUUAAUUGAGGUCACAAAACUCCCCUAACUCAAAGACGAGUUGAUAAUUUUUCUAUCGAUUAAGUUUUAGUGAACGUCUCAACUUGGGUAAACUUUCAUCGAACAAAAAUUCUUGUAUAUAAUGAUUUAUAGGACUUACUUUAUAUCUAAGUAAAAAGUUAUGUUUGUUUUCCAGAGAGGUGUCAGUCGGCUAAAUUAUGACGGCCAGACUAACGGACCGUUAAGCUAGUGAUGGCCCGUCAAGUUAGGCUGUCAACUUAAAAUUGAAAGAUCUUUCUCUGGCCAUAAGCUGAAGGUUGAAGUGACGGUUCGUCACCAGACUGACCGUCCAUCAACCAAACCGUCAGUCGAGGCUGAGUUGCUCAAACGGGCUAUUUUUAAAUAGGUAUUUUGGUACUUUCCCAUCUCAAACUCCUUCACGAUGAAUAUAAAUCAUAUCUUAAGCAUUAUAAUCCAUAUUUGAUUAGUUUUAAACACAUCUUAAUCCUUUCUACUCUCAAGAACAAGAGAAAUUAGGGCUUCAUCAAAGAUCAAGAAUCAAUCUUUAAGUACAAGAUUUCCAAGAAACGAAUCAAGAUUUGGAUUUUCAUCCUUCAACCUAAGUAAUCUAAGGUACAUGGGGUUUUUCUAAACUAUAUGGGGAUAUUGAAAUCAUUUUGAGUUAGGUUUAAAGUUACGAAAUCAUACUGUUACGAAGGGUUUUGAAAUUACAUUAACAAAUAUGCAUUGUGAACCCUUUUGAUGAUAACGUUUUGGUCUUGAGGCCUUCCCAUAAAAUUAAUUUUUGUUCGUAUAUAUAUAUGUAUGUAGUUUGAGAUUUAAAGUUGAAUUAAAACCAUGAAUGUCUAGACCCCCUCUCUUAUUAUGACAUCACUUGAUUUUCGCGUCUAAUAAAUUGAUGAGUUUCAUAUUUAGAAGCAUGACAUAAAGGUUUUCUUGACUAUUGUUUAAGGCAUGAUAUUGAUUAUAAACUAAAGAGAGGGAGUUAUCUUGCUUUGUAAAUAUUAAUGAUUAUUAUUGAAAGAAUUUCAUGGUUUGCCGCAAAGUAAAUGACCACCACAUGUUUAAGAAUUGAAAGAGGGAAUCUUGCAUAUGUUUUCAUGUACUGCAAUAUGCAAAUUCACUUGUACUGUUUGAACGAAUUUGUGGUCCAAGCACUUUGUUUUGAAUGAAGGGAUUAUAACAUGAUACAAUAUACCUUAGAGAUAUGACUUACAAGUCUUGGUAUGAUGAUACCAGAUGAAUGCUAUAGUAGAUUCAGAACAGACUAAAAAUAUAGAUUUCACUCAGAUUUUUAUAUUUUGAAUUCAAAAAGGUACAUGUUUAGAAAGAGUUAAAACAUGGACCUAAAGAGAGUUAGGUGGUUACCCGAAGAAGGAAUGAUCCUAGAAAACUCAUUGUCCAAACCUGUGUUUUGCCGAUACGGGUUAUUUUGUCCUUAAAGAGGAAUUAUACGUUGGCCUAGUGCCCUGUGGCAUAUUAAAAUUAGAAACUCAAACUCUUGCGGCAAAUUGGGUUAGGGGCUUGGCCGUUGAGUCAAAGGAGGAUUCCAUGUAGCUCGUGGGAUUGUAGAAUUAUAGGGUGUACCACCUAGCUCGGAAUUAAACAAAGAGUGAGUCUUGUUUCAAGGAAUUGUUUGAAAAGUCUUUUAAGUUUUCCCAUGAGUUUUCAUAUGUCAUAUGUAAAGUGUUUUACAAAUUUCUCUCACUUAUGUUAUAUAGAAAUAGAUUAUUUUGGAUUGCUUUGCAUACCAAUACAUUUGUAUUGACCCGCUAUAUUUUAGGAUCUAAGGAUUAGUCCUGGGGUCCCGCUAAGCUUAAGACUAUUGUCAGACAAUUGGAGUUUGUGAGCCUCCCUUAUUUUGCUAGUCCUUAUCUCAUUAUUUCAAUAUUUCUAGUUCAUUGUCCGAUCGGGGGCCUUAUCCAGUCUUUAAACAGAUGUUGUUUUCUUUCAAUUAGUAGAGAUUUUGCAGACAGAUGUUAGAUGGAUUUGGGUCUUAUUGAAAUUAUAACCGUAUGUUUUGUUGAAAUUGGAUGACCUUGAUUCUAUUUUGUUUUGCGCAUUUUCUUAUAGUUUAUGAAUUGUGUAUGUAAUUUCCAGUAGAGAAGGGCUCUCGGGCCUUCAAGGUUUGGGAUGGUCGUCGUGUCCUGGGACUCAGUUCGGGUCAUGACAAACUUGAUAUCAGAGCACGGUUCAUGGUCCCAGGGUAUCUGCGAAGUCGUGUCUAGUAGAGUCUUGCUUAUGGGUGUGUUGUACACCACACUUAUAAUCAGGAGGCUACUAGGCAUUUUGAAUUUGUUUCUUGUUCUUUCAUACUCUAGUUUGUGCUAUAGCGUCAUUCAUAAGAAAGUUAUCCAAAUUUCCUUCCUUGUUUAUAUUUCAUGGGCAAUGCCUCAUUAUCGCUGCAAUACAAGUCUAGGAGUCUAUAUCCCUCAGUGAUGUGGUUCUCUCUAAUUGAGUUAUUCAUACAGUAAUGUGAUAGCACAAGGACUUGAGAGGAGUCUAAUAGUGCUUCAAGUUGUAUUGCUUCGAGUGUAUACCUUUAUCCUGAUGAAGUCAUGCUUUUCAACCUAAGGUACAAAGUGUAUUCAGUUCCCUUUUAAAUUUUUUGUUGCAGAUGUCAUGCUUAAAGUUAUUGAGUGUAGCCAAAUGUUGAAACUAUAUUUCCACCCGAGUAGUAGUAUAUGUUAAAGUGUCAUGACCUAUUGGUAGUGAGAUGGGCGAAGAAGUUGGUGAUAUGAAGUCACAAGAUUAGAAGUCAGAGUAAGGGUGAGUUUUGUAUAAAUAAAUAGUUUUAGUUGUUUAACUAUUGAUUGAGGGGUGGCUUUUUCUUUUAUGGUGGUUGGCUAAUGUUAUAGCAAGAUUUAUAGAUUGUACGAUAGUUUGUGAAUGAAGUGUUUGGCUUUGAGUAUUAUUUAUUAAAAUUAGGGAAGGAGCCUAGAAUGGAUAGUUACGGUGGUUGUAGAAAUCAUUUAUAGGCUGUGAAUGAAAAGGGGUAGAUUAGUCAAUAGGUUACAAAUAGAGACUCAUUGGUGUAUAUGAAACUUGAAGGUAGUGGGGAUGUAUAUAUGGGUAAGUAAAUAUUACGUGGGGAAGUGAAGUAUGUUGAUGAGAUCGUAAUAGGUUAUGUUAUAAGAUUAAGAUCGACUAUCCCUAUUAUGACUUUACCCCCCUCCCCCUUGAUUGUCUUUAUUCUAGUAGUUGUAAACUAAUGCUGCCUGUGAUAAGGUAUGCAGUAGAUUUUGAGGUGCAGUAGUAAUGUGAUGGAGGGGAUGUGAUCGAAGGUAGUAGUUAAAUGAAAUAAAGUAUUUUGGGUUGAAUUCCUAAUUUGAUGGGCUAUUAUAGUACGUGGCAUGCUUCAUUGGUGGUACAUGAUUGACGCUAGACUAUAGGCUUGAACUUUGGAUGUGAAGUGUGGUGGUAAGAGUAAUAGCUUAAGAUUAAUGAUGAAUGUUUUGCGGGAAUUAAUUAGUAGGCUUGAUGUUCUGUGUGAAAUUGCCUAGGUUUGCAACUUAUGGAAAAAGAGUGGAUAAAUGGUGAUAUAUAUAUAUAUAUAUAUAUAUACACACACACAUGAGGACUAGUGUUAAAAAAAAUGAUGAUUUGUGGUUGAGUUAUUAAGGAUAUAAGAGUAAUAGUCAUAUUAAAAUAAGUUGAACCCCGAUAACAUGUUGUUAGAUAAGAUUGUAUGGUGUAUGUGUCAGGUGUACCUAGUUUUUGUUUUUGAAUUUUGUAGUACGGAGAAUUUUGGGGAGUUGUUGUAUAGAGUUCAUUAAAUUUGAGCUUGAGGAAAUAUAGGAAGGCAAUAUUCACCUUUGAUAUAGUUGUAAAAAUUUUGUUAAGUUGUAAGUUUUGCGAUGAGAGAUUUAAUACGGGUAUCUUAAAUGAUGGAGAAUAAGUGGGUAUGUGAUAAGGGGUGUGGAUAUUUAUACCUGCGUGAGUGUGAGUUAUAGGGUGAUGGAUAUAAAGGCUAGAGAAAGUUAAGAGUAGCAUUUACGGAAAGCAAGGCCUUCAGAGUAUAGUUCAUCAGGGAGAGUUUAGAGUUUAAGUUUAUGGUGAGAGUUGUGGCAAUAGAUUUUGAUGUGAGGUUAUGCCCGCAAGUCUAGGAGUGUGACAUUGAUCUAAGGGGGAGAAGAUGUAUUAAAGUAGUUCCCGAAUUUUGUUGUGGUGUCAAGUUUCAAGUAAGAAACAUGAUAAAUCAAUUUCUAUUCAAUCAAGCUCCUCCUACUUCGAUUUGAAUGGACAUCUACCAAUGUCUUAUGUAUUCAUGUCAUGCCUAUGCCUAAGAUUUGAGCUCUCUAUAUAACUCAUGUCAUGUUCCGACCUCCAAACUAGAAGCAAUAAUGUCCCUCAGUGAUCCAAUAUUCCAAGUAUCCAAGCCAUAUGUUAUAUUGCUCAUGAUCCAUAAAAGUCCAUGUCUCACAUAAUGCUUGAUUUGAAGAAACUAUGCUUUCCAUAUGUUACCGUUUCAUGUUAUACCGGGAUUAGUCAAACUGAUAAAGCUUAUGCUAACUCAUGAAAAAUUUCAGUUCAAUAAAUAAGGAUCAAUCGCUUCAAGUGGCAAUCCUUUUCUUAGUUGUUAACUACAUAAAUUUCGGUUUUAUGUCAUAUACGUCAUGAUAUGUGCAUCCAUGUUACUCAUUGUGGUUUGUCCUAAGAAAACCAUGUUGUUUUGUGUUCAUGCCAAAUGACUCUUUACUUAUGAUUCGGACACUUGAUAUGUGAAGCACUUUGUGUCUAUUCUAAUGUAUCUUCGUCUUAUGUUCCACUUUUAGUAGUGCAUAAGUAUAUCGUAUAAUCGAUUAGUGUUACUCCCAUUCAUGAUGCUUAUGCUCGGGUCCCUUAAUAACCUUCCGUAUGUUAGUAUAAUGGUGGUUGUGGAAGCAUAAUAGUGUGUUAGGUAGGGGAGUAGAUGUUUUUUUAAGAUGAAAAUUUAGAUGUGAUUUCUUGAGGUAAGGUUAUAGGAGAAGGUGGAAGAAGGAAAUGAACUUUCGUUAUGUGAGAUAGUUAAGGAGUUAUGUGGCGAAAGUCUUAGUGAGAAUAAUUGAAUUGGCGGGUCUUAGUGGGGAGAUCCAUGAAGUGGGUGUAGUAAUAAUAGGCUUGAAUGUUGUGAUUGAAUAAAACACAAACCAAUGGGUUAUGUGGUUGGUGCUCCUUGAUUUAAAACUCGUGUGUGUUUGAUGGUGGGGAUAAGGUGAAGUAAUUUUCUUAAUGGGAUAUAGAGUACCGGAUCCCGUAGCUAAAGCUAAUACCUCUUCCCCUUGAGUUAGGCUUAAACAUAAAAGCACUAUGCAGUGGGACUCAAACUCGUGUUUAGAUGUGUGAUGGGAGAAAUAUAAAUGAAAUUUAUGAAGUAUGUCGUUUAUUUAUUAUUUGGGGCAUAGUCGAGUAGUGUCUCUAAGUGAGGUUCAUUCAUUUUAAAUUGUACGGUGAGGGAAUGCUUCGAUCCCCAUUUUCCACGAAAUCUUAUUUCAUAACUAUUACUUAUGUAAAUCAGGCCAUUUAUCACCAAAUUAACUAAUGCCUUAUGUUGUGAUGAUUAUGAUUCAUAGAACUCUUGUGCAAGAUCAUCCCUAUGUAAAGUUUCAUUACACACGAUUCACUUGGCAACGUCAUGAAUGCUUUUCUUGAGGUCGAUGUAUGUUUCCUUCGAAUAUUUUUUUAAAGUAAGGUUACGUCCUGUAUUUCAUAUUUUUGGAGCUUCAAUAAGUCCCUACCCAUCAUUCGGAGACUAAUGAUUCCAAGGGGGAGAUAAUGUAACACCCCGCACUUUCGGGCUAAAGUUUGAACCGUCUUUUCCAUGCGUAUAGACCCGAACCCAAAGAUUACUUGUUAAUAUAUGUGUGAUGAUCAAUUCCAUAGUUUGGAAAUACCUUUGAAUAUGAAUUGAGGCCACAAAAAUCCCCUAACUCAAAGAGGAGUUGAAAAUGUUUCUAUCGAUUAAAUUUUAGUGAACAUCUCAACUUGGGUUAACUUUCAUUGACCAUAAAUUCUUGUAGAUAAUGAAUUAGAGAACCUAUUGUAUAUCAAAUGAAAGUUGUAGACACGCGAUUUCGUCCUCUUAAAGUUCAAUUUUAUUCACUUUUACCCAUUUUUAUUUUAUCCUACCGUGUACCCUCAUCCAUGUUAUUAUACCCUCACAAAAUACAAAAAAUAACAAACUCCCUAACAAAUUCUAUCCCAUCCUAACCCCUACAUCUUAUCCUAACAACCUAUCCAAUCAAAAUAAACCACAUCACACCCUACCCCUACCCCACCUUCAUACCCCACCUACCCUACACCAAUACCCACCCACGUGACCCCUCACACUACCACCUACCAUAUAUACAUAUCCCAUUAUCACACCAUAGGGGAGGACAAAAAUAUUUUUCCAUUUUUGAUGCUCCACUAAGAUCCAGGGGAGAGUUCACUAAAAAAAACAUACAUUCUCUCACCAUAUACAUACACACUACACACAACUCACAAUAAUCACUCGUCCUCACUGAUUUGCACACACCCACAUACUGGUAUACACACAUAUCACCAAAAAGGAGAAAUACAGUAGAAUUGGGGAUCAAGAAAGAUAAAUGAAGGGAGAUAGGUCAGAAACAGUGAAGAAAUCGAAAUAAAACAAUAGAGAGAAGUGAGAGAGUGAGAGAGAUCUGCGAGAUAGUGAUAGAGAGCUGUGAGAGAGUGACAGAACAAUGCGAGAGAGGCAGAUAUGGUGAGAAAAGAGUGAAAAUCAAUCAAGGGAGAGAAACGGGCACUGGUUUGACCAUUUCCGAUGAGUCUCUUGCCGGAUAUCCAUCAAAAUCGAGCUAGAAAGCUUCGGCAAUUGUUGUUGCAGCGAAACCCAUAGGAAAACAUUCACGCGAACCUUGUUCCAGAUCUACGACGAAUAGCCACCUUCAUCUACUCCGGCAAGAUUUAGUUAACUCCGGUGAGUCACGAAAUAUUGAAAGAAAAUAAGGAGGUUGUCCUUGGAAUGUUGAGUCAAGGUUCUGCUAGUUCAUGGUGCCGAAUCUGCGAAACUCCUCUAUUUGAUUGAAUAAAAGCGGCAUUAAGGUCCCGUUUGUGUCGAUCUAUUCGUCACCAUUAGUUUCAGGCUUUGAUUUCUCGAUUACCAAGUUGGAUUAGUCACAGCUGAGGUUAUUUCAUCCGAAAUUCCAAGUUUGGGCUUCUUUAAUGUUAUUACCAACACAAAUUGAUUAUUGGAAGGUCCACUUCUUUAACUCAUUCUCUCUUCUUUAUCGUAAUUUAUUAAAUUGGGCAUGUUUGAAAUUGGAUGAUUUGUUGAUUGUUUGAUGUUAUUCAUGUGAAAUUUGUAUGAUUAUCAUGCUUUAAUUGUCAUUAUGUCUAUGUUGUUGAUAUUGAAUUCUGAGUUGAAAAUUGAGUUGACAAUCGAGGCAUGUGUUAAUUUUGGUUGAAAAGAGAAUGUGGGGUGGGAAGGAAGAAAUUGAUAAAAGUUGAACGUAGAUUAAUGUUAGUUUGUUUUCUUUUUGUUCCAUUCGGUACAAAUGAAACAUGAUAGAAUUAUCAUAUGAUUGAAAUGGAUAGGCCAAUGUAGGUUCGGGUAGGCAAAUUUAGGAUUAAGAUUUUGAUUGAAUGUUUGAAUGUGGAAUGUGUUGAAUGUUUUUUUAGUUUAUCGCAUCUAAUUCAAAAUGUAUUCAUUUGGCCGGGGAAUGCCCCGAAGUAUUUGUAUAUAUAUUUAUUCACCGGGAAUGCCCCGAAGUACUAUGUUGGCAAAGGCGGAUCGAGAACAAGGCCCGAGGCGUAGGGUAGCGGGAGCGUAGUUAGUAGUAGCAUAAGUUAGAUGGUAUUUAUCUUAGCAUUUUUUUUUAUGUUGGAAUGUAUAAAUUGGACUGGACACUAUAUUUUGAUCGUUUUGUUUUUGUCUGUUUGUUUGUUUGUUUUUACGUAUUUGUGUGGUUUGUACAUUCAUCAGGAUCGAGUGGUGCCUAACACCUUCCCCUCGGUCAACAGAAUUCCUUAGCCGGAAUCUCUAUUCGCGAACCAGUUUAAAGAGUCAAAUGGUUUCGAAAAGAACUUUUCCAAUGGUGACUUGGCACACUAGAUUAUGCCAAGUGGCGACUCUGAUUUUGAAUUUAAAAAUAAUUCUUUUUCGGAACCAAUUUUCAUUUUGUCACUUUAAUAAAAACUCUUUCGAACUUAAAAUAUAAAUUUUUCUGAGUCGUAAAAGGGGUGUGACAAAAGUUAUUUGAGUCUUCUUUCCAACUCCACUGGUUUUACCUUAAUCUGAUAUCUGAGUAAAAAGUUAUGCUUGUUUUCCAGAGAGGUGUCAGUCUGAUUGCCAUCAAGCCAGUGAUGGCCCGUCAAGUUAGGCCGUCAACUUGAAACAGCAAGCUCUUUCUCUGAACCAGCUAAAUAAUAUUAACGAUUAGAAAGGAUCUAAACCUUGGUUUUGUUUUUACUUUUAUCAAUUAUGUCAUCUCCGUUCAAUAUAACUACAAUAAGCAGCAUUCUAUUUUCGCAUUUAUUUGGAACAUGGAACUGUUCCCUGAGCAGACUGUAGAAAUCAUUAUAGGUUUUUCCAUAUUAGGUACAAUAAUUUACCUUAGUAGAUUUAAGAGUAAAUGGGACCUAACCAUUUUCAGGGAAAGAAGAAGUUCUCGGUGCCAACAAGCAGUAAAGGCAUAAGUAAGUGCAUUAAUGGACAAAUCAACCAUUCAAAAUAUGGAGAAACAGGAGUUCCAUGUGCUCUUGAUGCUAUUUUUGAACAAUACAAGAACACCAUGAAAGGGAACCAAGAUGUUUCUGCUCCUAAUGAUUCUGAUGAGGUUUCCGUUUCCAUCACAGAUGAUGUUAGAACAUCAAGAAAAAGAGGCCUUACUGAAGGUUAGUCGUUCCUUCAGAAAUGAAUGAGUUCAGCUGUUCACAUGUUCGUUGUGCUUAUCUUAUUUUCUUGAUGAAUUAGCUUUCAUGAGAUCUUCUUUGGUACUAAUAUUUUUCGGUAACAUUCAUUUCCGAGUAUCCGAGCUUGUUCCUGUAACUAACAUAGAUGCGCAGUAAAUCAAGAAGCUUAUACUUGUGUCAUUUGACCUUUGCUUCCCAAGCUACUAAUAAGCUGCUGAUUCUAAAUUCCAAUUCAAUCUUUUGUUAGUUGGAAUUGCUUCUGUAUAAUACUACUUAUGUAUAACAACAAACAACAAACAAACCCAGUGCAUUCCCACAAAGUGGGGUCUGGGGAGGGUAAGAUGUACGCAGACCAUACCGCUACCUCGAAGAAGUAGAGAGGCUGUUUCCGAUAGACCCCCGGCUCAAGAUAACGCAUAGUAAACAAGGAGUUCGAUGGCAUAACAGAAAAAUACUACUUAUGUAUAGUAGUUACUAAUAUUUCCAAUACUAACAAGGAGUUGUUUAUUUCCACAAAACAAGGAGUUGCUACAUGGAGAAAGUUGUCUAUUUUUUUUUUAAAUGAACAUAUUGUGCGGGCCAACUUUUUGCGCGCCUCAACUAAUUUUACAGGAUACUUGGAACCCUCCCACCAACAAAUAGGAAACUCUGUCCACUCUUGCUAGGAGAAAUGGAAAGGUAGUGUUUUUAUAUCUCUCCUCGGAUUUGAACCUGAGACCUCAUAGUUCUCAACCACUUCAUUGACCAUUAGGUCAACCAUUGGGCGCGAUCAUUGCCCAUCUCUUACAACACCAACAGUACCAUACCAAACAUUAAUUCAGUAUAUCCCCAAAACAUCGUUAAUCCAACAUUAAUCCAGUAGUUCCCAAAAACAGUGUUAAUCCUGUAUCAUGGGUCUUGGGAAGGUUGGAUCAUUGUCCAUUGCUUAAGCCCUAAAAAAUAACGUUAAUCCAGUACUUACCAAAAACAGAUGGAAAUCCUUUAGAUAGGGGUCGUUUGGUAGAAGGGAUAAGGGAUAACUAAUCCCGAGAUUAACUUUAAAAUGAGCUUAUCCCAUGUUUGAUUGGGAUAAAAUGAAUGAGAUAACUCAUCCGGUGAUUAAUUAUCCCGGGAUUAUAGUGUUAUUUGUAUCCUUUCUUGAGGGUGGGAUAGUUAAUCCCAGGAUAACUAGUUUCCCAACCACACGACCCCUAAAAGUUUUAAGGAUCGUAUUUGUUUGGGAUAGAGCCAGAAGGUUAUAUACAGGUUUGGCCUAAUUCAGUAGCUUCAGUCCAAACCUUGUAUUUAUAUCAAGUUCACUAACCAUACACAAAAACUAAAUUUGAACUCAGUCACUAACACCUGAUAUCACUAUCCUAGAAUUUAGAACCCAUCAAAUCGUGGCUUCGCCUUUGUCUUUGAUGUUGUAAUGAAGAUUGGAAAUGGAAGAAUUCAAAUCCACCACCCAAAUACAGAAAUCUUAUCGGGUUAGUAGCAAGAAAAAACUACUGUUUGUUCAGUUCCUAUGCUCAGAGAAAGUAUUUUCUAUCUCAAAAUGUUACAUGUUCUUACAUUUGGUGCAUUCUGUGAAUCAUGACCGAAUUAGCUACAACACACUCUAGCUUCACGAGGAUCCUGUUACCCCUGAACAAAAUUUUAGUGUAUUUUUAUCAUCUUUUUUAGCUGACGUGAUGCCUUUUGUCAAUCUUUUUAGCUGAUGUGACUCCUUUGAUGUGAAUCCUAGUUUAUGUAAUAAAGGUGCUAUGUCAGCACAAAAGAGUGAUAAAAAUAUGCUAAAAUUGAGUUCAGGGGUAUCGGACCCCUAUGAAGUUGGAGUGUGUCGUAGCAACUUUGAUCAAGGUUUGAGGGGCUACUGGAUGCUUAUCUCUUAUUAUAUUUUAAUCCAAUUAUUACUUUACAUUAAGGAUUGACCACAUUUAAUUGUACACUUUUGGUGAUUAAACUUUGAUAAAUAGCUCUAAAAGUAGAGCUUUUGCCAUAAUUGUCCCUCUAUUUGUCCUUCAAAUAUUAGAUAGAAAUGGAAUCCUCCAAAAUUAGGGCCGGAGUAUUAGAAUUGUUCUACUUCAGUAUAGGUACUAUAACCGUAGGUAAAAUAAUAAUCAUUCGGCCGAUUGCUUGGACCAAGUAUGUUAUGUUAAAAUAAUUAUAAAUGUAUAUAUAAAGAAAAAAUUGUUGUCUGUACGUUAUAUUAGAUAAAAAAGUGUUCUUAAUAGAGGGACAUGAUAAUUCACCAUCACAUAACAAUUAAGGAACAAAUUUAAAUUUAGUGUAAUCAACAAAAUUUUGUCAUAAAUAUGAAAAGUCAAAUUAUAUUGAUAUUGAACAUGGAUACAGACUCUAAAUAAGGUAAAGAAAUGAACUACACUAUACAUAAGAAUAAUAACAUCACACAAUUGUUGCAAAUUAAUAAGAACAAAAAAGAUUGUAGUGAAACAAAAGAUGACAAUUUGAUAGUUAAGGAGGAAUAAAAAUUAAAAUCCAUCUAUCAUGAGACUAAUAACACAAUAAUUAUAAACUUUAUGUUUCUAUUAAUAUAUAUAUUUUAGGAUAGCUUAAUUAUUGAUUAUUUUAAUUCUACUUAUCAUAUAUGUUUCUCGUACCAUAUAUAUUUUUGGACUACUAAAUUAUUAAUUUUCCUAAUAUUUUUCUCCAUAUAUGUUUUUCUUACUAUAUAUAUUUUAGAAUUGCUUAGUUAUUAAAUUAUUCUAAAACUAUUUACCAUAUAUGUUUCUCUUACCAUAUAAAUUUUAGGACCACUUAAUUAUUAAAUUUCCUAAUAUUUCUCGCCAUAUAUGUUUUUGUUUAUAUAUAUAUAUACUUAAUUAUUAAAUUAUCCUAAUACUAUUUUCCAUAUAUGUUCACUUACCAUAUAUAUUUUAUAAUUUCAUAAUUUUUCAAAUAUAUGUUUCUAUUGCUAUGUAUAUUUUCGGACUGCUUAUUUAUUAAUUCUCCUAAUACUAUUUACCAGUUACCGUAUAUGUUUCUCUUACCAUAUAUUUUUGUAGGAUUCUUAAUUUUUAGAAUAUGUUUUUUCUCUGACCAUAUGUUUUAGAACAACUUAAUUAUUAAUUUUCCUAAUACUUCUCAUGUAUGUUUCUCUUACCAAAAAACUUCAUAAAAGUGACCAUCCCAUGUGAUUGUUUCAACUAUAAAACUAUGUCCAAUUUCCAUCCAUUUCAACACUAGAUUCAAUCUCGCUAAAACUAUAUGUUCUGAGCUAACACAACAGAGAAUGAUCGACCGCAUCCUCAAGUGAAAGUCUUGAGAGCUUCAUUUGCGAUGCUACGUAGGAAGCUUUCUUGACUUAUGGGAAAAGAUACGAAGGGUUUAUCUCCAAUGAAUGGAAGCCCUUUGAGCGUAUGCUAAAUGGAGUUCUCUUGGAUGUCUAGUAGCCAAAAGAGCAUCAGUUAGCCACUUCUCGAAGGGCUUCCAGUCCAUGGGGGUCAAGCCUUCAAUUCCUUUUCUCAUAAGUCGAGCAAGCACCAAAUGUAGCAUUGAUAAUUCAGCUUUCAAGACCUUCCUUCAGGUUCGACCAAUCAUUGUUUGCUGAAGUUGGCUCAGAAGAUUGUGGAGAACCAUUUGUACUUGGCCAAUAUGUCAUCCAUGCCAUAGCGAAACCAGAGCUUUCAAUCAAAAGGGUUCAAGCAUAUCUCUAUCUAAAUUGCGCAAACUAAAUUAUUUUAGCAUCUGUCUUCUCAUGAAAUUAAAAAAAAAAUGUAGGAAAAUCUAAGGUUUUGAGAUGUAUUUUUUUUACUAGUAACCAACUUUGGUAUCCCUCUAUUGUUUGUCUCCUCUUUUUGUUACUAUCUACUAUCCCUUGUACUUUGAUUAUCACAUUUUUUUUGUUGUUGCUAUUGUUCUUUGAUAUGUGUUUCCUUAAGAUGAGGUUUUAUGGAAAUAACCUCUCUACCUCCUAAGGUGGAGGUAAGGUUACCAACUUUGGGAUCCCAAGAAAGAUUUCGAAAGCUUGUAGAAUAGAAAAUUUUGUUUCAUAUUUAUUGCAAUCUAUUUUGCUCGGAUUCUUAAACAAUGUUAGAUCGAUGUGUGGCGGAUCAUCUAACAAAGAAUUUCACANNNNNNNNNNNNNNNNNNNNNNNNNNNNNNNNNNNNNNNNNNNNNNNNNNNNNNNNNNNNNNNNNNNNNNNNNNNNNNNNNNNNNNNNNNNNNNNNNNNNNNNNNNNNNNNNNNNNNNNNNNNNNNNNNNNNNNNNNNNNNNNNNNNNNNNNNNNNNNNNNNNNNNNNNNNNNNNNNNNNNNNNNNNNNNNNNNNNNNNNNNNNNNNNNNNNNNNNNNNNNNNNNNNNNNNNNNNNNNNNNNNNNNNNNNNNNNNNNNNNNNNNNNNNNNNNNNNNNNNNNNNNNNNNNNUGAUGGACUUGCAUCCACAUUUUCAGGCUUGAUCGGUUACAUAUAUAUGCUUAGUGAAGUUAAAAUAAUUCAGUUAAGAGUGUAUAUAUUCCACAUUCUGUGAACUCUUGUUGAUUCUGGAUUUCGUUCAUGGAAAUGCACUUAAUGUCUUCCAUGAUGGACCAAUAACGGUUACUCUUCUGAGCUAAAUUUCACUUUCGGAACAACUUUGGAUUUGAGUAUAAUAUUGGAACAUUUGUCAUUUAUAUCAUUUGUGUCCAAUAUUAGAAAGGAUCUAAACCUUAAUUUAGUUUUAACCUAUGUCAAUUAUAUCAUUUGUGUUCUACAAAGCUAUAAUAAGCGGCGUUCUACUUUUGCAUGUGUAUGGAACAUGAAACUGUUCCCCUGCGCAGCCUGUAGAAGUAAUUAUAUUUUUUUCUAUAUAGGGGUGUGAAAUUUCUUCACUUGUAUUGUAUUUACCUUCUUGGAUUUAAGUGAAAGUAGUAAAGACACUAGUAAGUGUGUUAACGACAAAUCAUCUGUCUAAAGAUGAAAAAAAAAGGAAACCCAUGUGCUCUUGAUGUUUUUCGAACAAUACAAGAACGCCAGGAAGUUUCUGCUCCUAAUUAUUCUGUAUGGUUUUCGUUUCCAUCUCAUAUGAUGUUAGAACAUCAAUAAAAAGAGAUGUUAUUGAAGGUUAGACAUUCAGUUUGGGUCAAUGUUAUCAAAAGCGAAAAGUGCGCCAAAUCAAAAAGCUCUGACGUCUGUUCGGGUUUUAAGGGCAAAACACAUACAAAGUAUAAGCUUUAAGGGGAUAGGAAAAAGCGCAAAUGAAGAAAAAAAAUACCAAAUGUAUGGACAAAGAAAUUGAAAAAAUAUUUAUGGUUAUCAAUUUUUAUGGACAUGUUUAGUUCAGUUGUUCAGAUGUUUGGUGUGCUCAUUUUCUUGAUAAAUUACUUUUCAUGAUAUUGCCUUAGCUAUUUCUUAUUGGUUAUAUUUACUUCUGAAUAUCCAAGUUUGUUUUUGUAACUAACGUAUUAUGUAUGUCCAUUUUUAAAGAUGAUAUUACUCGUAUAUAGUAUUUACUAAAAUUUCUAAAACCCUAUUGACCUUAUAUAGGAUGGUAUGAAUUUUGUAGUAGCUUUAAGCCAAACCUUUGUAUUUGUAUUAAGUCCACUAACUAUAUACAAAAAUUAAAUUUUAACAAGAACACGAGAUUUAGGAAACAAAGUUGCAACCUAAUAAUAACUUUUAUUACUAUUAUAUUGUGUCACACUUUUCAUUUCCUCUUUUUUGACAAUAUUUUCUUUUGUGAAUUAAUGGUCAAAUCAUGUUCCGCUCAAACAAACAUUAUGACGAAAGCACAAAUAGUUUAAAUGAGACAUUAUAUUUAGGAAGUAAUACUGAAAGGGACUGAUCCCUGUUUGGUAGGACUUAACAAUUUAAAUUAGAUAAGUAAAUAAUCUCAUAUUUCUUAUUCUCAACAAGAACAAGAUCUACUAAUUUAUGCUUCGUUAAAAAUCAAAAAAAGAUGUAAGCUUCUUUCUGACUAGAGCUGCAAGUUUUGCAAACUUUCGUAUUUCACUAUGUACGCAAUUAGAUUUGAUGUUUUGCUACAUCGCUAAAAGAAUCAGAGCGAUAACGACAGUUUUUCUAAUGGUAUUGCGUCAGUUUAGCGGACGCUACAUACAUUAAUGGUGGUUUGGAAAAGCGUCAUAAUUACGUUUGCCACAAAGAUAUUGUGGCGGUUUUGCUAAAAUCACUAUAAUUAUAAUUAGUAAAAACGAUAGUUUAUGGUUUUAUAUUACAACCAUUACCAUCGCCGCUAUUUUAUAUACUAACAUUGCAUUAAAUGACAGUUUUAAACCACCAUAAUGUUCGAUGAGGACUCGCAUGGUCUGCGUUAGCAUUAGGUGAUUGAGCACUGCCUCUUAUAUCUUGUUCCUACAAAAUAAUAAUUGACACGACAAAAAUUAAGUGCCAUUCCGCAUUCUUUGUGUCUGAUUCAAGUUGCUUGGAUAGUUAUGGUAUCAGCAUUUCAUGUUCUUAUCAUUGAUAUGAACGAACUAAAAUUUAAUGUGGUGAAUAAAAUCUUGUCAUUGAUAUGAAAAGCCAAAAUUAUAUUGAUAUUGAACAUGAUUACAGACUCUAAAUAAGGUAAAGAAAUCGACUACAUUAUAAGAAUAAUAACAUAACACAAUUGUAGCAAAUUAAUAAUAACAAAAAAUACUAUAGUGAAAUAAAAGAUGACAAUUUGAUAGUUAGGGAGGAAUAAAAAUUAAAACCCAUCUAUCUAGAGACUAAUAACACAAUAGUUAUAAACUUAAUGUUUCAAUUACUAUAUAUACUUUAGGAUUUUUUCAGGCAUAAUCCAUAAAGUAUAAACAAGACCUUUAACAUGACACCAAAUUCUAACUAUGACUUUUAACUUUACCAGUGCACAAGUAGGCUGUAAUGCCCCAAGAGUACACCCUGGGCGCCACACGGUGCUUACAGUCUCGAGGGACCACAAGUUAACCCAUGAGCUGGUACCUGCUGUGGGAACUGAAUAAUAUAAUAACAUAUGCGGAAAAGCAACUGUUAAGCCAUAAUGUUUUAUGUAAAGAAACUUAUAGAACCUAUAGACCAAACUAAUAAUAUUACUGGUAAAAUAUCUGACAAUGUCAACUGAAGUCCGAAUACUAAAUAACUGACUGUAGUGUCCGAAAGCCUCUAGACUGACUAAAUAUGAGUUGAUGGGACAGGCCCCAACUAACCUCAACUAACUACUGAACUGAAAACAUAAAGAAAAAAUGCUCUGUCCUCAAAACUAUGAGGAUUCACCCCUGCAACGGCUGAUGGUCUGGAAAAUCUAUGUGCGAUCCGGGUACUAGGCGUUCGAACCUAUGAUAUGAUACAUCAUAGCACAAGAAAAGAGUAUGCGAUCAGUACUUAGAAUGUAUUGGUAUGCUAAAUAAGGUAGGCUGAUAUGCAUGGUUUCAUGAACAUGAAUAAUAACUAUCUGAAUUUAUGCAUGCAAUAAGAAGUACUGAGUAGAGUACAUGAAAUCUGUAGAUACUGUGGAUACGUGAAAUCUGUAAAUACUGAUGAUGCAUGAAAUUUGUAAGAGCUGAGGAUGCAUGACCAAUCGUAUAAGAUGUUCUGAAUAUAAUCUGUAAAUAUUGAAAUGCUGAAAUCUAAUAACUGAAUCACUGAUAUCUGUAUGCUAUAGUCAAGCAACCGAAAUUGAGUUACUGGACUGAUUACUGGACUGAGACUGUGGGAGCUAUCAUCUAACCGACAUGUCCCAAUUUGAACUAAUUGCAGUCCAACCUGUAACCCUAUGUCACGACCAAAAUGACCAUGAGUGGCGCCCACAUUAAUCCUUCUGUGCGAGAACCAUCUAAUCCGAACCAUAACCCAAUCACUUAGUUAAUAUUAAGAUGAUAUUUCAUAAAAUCAACAUUGUAACAAUAAUUUAGAACUAAUCAUUAAUUAUGCAAAAAUCCAACAAAGUCAUUACUAAAACCCCCAAGACCCAAAAGUCAUCGUACAAGAACUACUAACAAAGAUCAUGUCUAAAGAGAUAUCCAAAAAUAAAGUAAAUAAAUAAUAUUUCAUCGCCCAAAAGAUGGACAAGAACAAAUAAGAUGAUCCGUGGUAGCAUGGAGAUGGAGUGCUCAUCCUUGGAUUAAGAUCUGCUAUCAGACUCUAGAGGUGAGGUCAUGCCUGAGCCUCUAGAACACUUUUUGCACUCAACAAAAGAAGAAUACAGGGUAGUAUCAGUACAAAUCACUAUGUACUGGUAGGUAUUAUAGGGUAACUCAAUUUAAUAACAUGUACACAACAUAAAAUCAAAUAACAAGUGGACAGGCCUCAUCACACAAUAAUUACUAAAUGAAUCAAUAAUACAAAAAUAACAGAACAAAUAUUACUCACAAAGAAGCCACAUAACCAUCAAGAGUAUCAACCAUACUGUAAACAUCCACAGACUCAACACAAAUAUGUACACACAUGCUAUGAGACUUAUUUUUUUCCAAAUAGUCAGGUUCUGUAGGCGAACAAUCUAUGUUCUUGUACCAUACCGGCGUAGUACCCGAUUCAACGUAUACAUAUCCGUACCGGCAUGGUACCCGAUCCAAAAUAAACAUAUAUGUAUCGGUGUGGUACCCGAUCUAACAUAUAAAUAUCCGUACCAGUGUGGUACUCGAUCCAACAUAAAUAUAUUCGUACCGGCAUGGUACCCGAUCCAAUAUACACAUAUCCGUACUAGAGUGGUAGCCGAUCCAACAUAAUCAUAUCCGUACCAACGUGGUACCCAAUCGAACAUAUAAAUACCCGUACCGGAGUUGUAUCCGAUCCAACAUAAAGAUAUUCGUACCGGUGAGGUAUCCGAUCCAACAUAAACAUAUUCGUACUAGUGUGGUACCUGAUCCAACAUAAACAUAUCCGUACCAGCAUGUUACCCAAUCCAAUAUAAAUAUAUUCGUACCGGCGUGGUACCCGAUCCAACAUAUACAUAUCCGUACUGGUGUGGUACCUAAUCGAACAUAAUCUUAGCCGUACUGGCGUGGUACCCGAUCCAACAUAAAAAAGUAUUAUCAAUAUCAAAUUUACACAAACCCCACAGCAUACAACAUAAUGUACCAAGGUUUACAAGUACACUUAAAGUCAUAAGACAAUUCCAUCAAGUAAACUUUGAAUAAUCAUUUAUACACGCAUCAUUAAUUCUCACAUCAACAAUUUCAAGCAUGUCCGAAUACCAAUAAACAAGUAUCCAAUUUAAUAGAAUACAUGCAAUAAAUUCGAUUCUAAACUCCAAUUAAAUUAUAACUGUAAUACCCCGGAAAAUUUUUCGUUCGAAUUUUGUGCGUAAACGUGUUGGGUUCUAUAUUCUAGAAUGAAUUAUAAAUUGUUCGUGUGGAAUGUCUUAGAUUAUGAUCCAUCAUUGUGUAGAGUAUCAAAUAAGCUUUCCAACGAUAUGUGGAUCAUCCAAAACGAACACCCGAGCGACGAGUUAUGAACAUUCUGAUCGAACUGUGAAUAGUAGUGAACAGUAAAACGUGCAAGAAAAAGUACUGAGGCCUGGCGUAUUUUUUCUCCUAAGUUAAACGAUUAUAACUCCUUGUCCAUAAUGAUCUGGGUAAUCUACUAUAUAUCAAAGAAAUCUAUGCGAGUCCUCUUUCCAAUGAAAUUGGUUUCAUCCAAUUUGUAGCAAAAAGUUAUUGUUGAUCUACUUCAGCCUAUCAAAAGCGAAUUUUUGGGUGAACUUCAAACGAUCAUAACUCCUCGUACCCAAUGAUCUGUGUGAGAUACUAUCUACCAACGGAAAGAUAUGAGAGUCCUCUUUGUAAUUAAUUGGUUUCAUCCAAUUUAGAUAUCGGAGUAAACUGUUAGGGUUGAUCUACUUCAGACUAUCAAAACAGUCCACCAAAGGACAGAUUCAAGAAUUAUUUGAUUUUUUAGGGGCGAUUUGGUCAUUCCCCCUCAUCCAAAAUCCAUCCAAACCCUAUAUUAAAGCCUAUUGGAAGCAUUAUAUGUUAUAUUUCAUCAAGUUCUCUCAAAAAGAAAACCCUAAGCUCCUACAUCCAACUUCAAGAACCUCCAAAGUUCACCAUUCAUUCUGCAAAUUUAUUCAAGAUUCCAAGUUCCUAGUUCAAGAACUCCAAGUGCCAUCAUUAAAAGGCACGAUUAAUAUCUCAAAAACGAGUAUCGAUCUAAAGUUCAUCAUUCAAGGUAUGUGGGGUUUUUCAAAAAGAACUCUCUUUCGUUCUUGUUCCCAAAAGUAAUUUUCUUUACAAAGACAUAAUUUUUAUUUGAUUUUUAUGAAUUUGAAGCAUGAAACCAUAUCUUAUGAUGAUUAUUAUGAAAUCUUGAUGUUUAUGAUUUUGAAAGAUAAAUUUACAAGUGUGGAGAUAUAUAGCAUGAAUCUUGAACAAUAUUUAUCAUGAUUUUGAUAUUUGGGUGGUGAAUCCCUAUUGGAAAUUGUGUGUUCUUUUGAGAAAGUGUGUGUUAUAAGCACGUUGAUGUUGAAUAUUUGAGAUAUUUUUAAUGAUUUGACCUUUUGAUCUUAAUGAAGUUGUUUUGAACUCGAGUUUGAAAGAAAUCCACAACAUGGUUGAUUUUGAUAAAUGGGAAGCAUGAUGGCUCCUGAUGUAUAUUUAUAUAUUACUGAAAUUUGAUAUCGAUAGUCCUACUCCGAUGGCAAGGAUAGGACGGCUCUUCCCAACGUGGGUUGUACGUUGGACUCCAUGUAGCUCACAUGGUUUAUGUCGGUUAUAGGAUCUCCCAGUGUGUGUUUCCUUGUGUCUAUGGUGAAUGGUGAAGUGAUUUGAAAGUGGAAUUGUGAAAGUUAUUAUUUCAAAUGAUUUAAAUGAUAUUUACAUUAUAAGAAUUGAUAUUCUUGAUAAACUGCAAGUGAUUGACAAAUUAUAUGAUGACUCACAUAUGUUAUUGUACUUAUUUCAUCCUCUCAUGAUUAUGAUGAUUUUCUUUGGGAUAUGUGAGUGUUUCAUACAUCCUGCAUAUUUCUUAUAAUUAUUUAUGAUGAUAAUGUUUAUACAACUGCAUACACCCCCAUAUACUCAGUUUCUUUCCAUAGUAUUGACCCACAUCUUCAAAUGUGGGCUGCAUUUUCUCGGAAUAAAGGUUAAGGUGCUCAGUUCCGGUUCAACAGUGAUUCUUCAGGCAAGCUGUUCUAUAUCCUCUGUUGUGGUGAGUCCUCAUGUUCCGAAGACGUGAUGUCUGAUGUUGGUUUCAUGGAAUUGUUUACAUUUGAUAACUAAGUAUGAGUCAGUUGGGGCAUGUCUCAUUGGCUCACUGGUUUUAUUGAUUUUCAUAGAAGCUUGUCAGACUAGUAUAGAUGUUGGGAGUUGGCUAAUAAGUCGUAGUUGUUAUCUUUCUAAAAUUCUGUUAUUCUUGGAUGAUGAUUACUCUGUUGAUAUUUGAGGGUUGUUUAUGGAAACCCCAUUAAUUUGUGUUGAACUAAAUGAAAAUGGCUCAAAGGUUUAGCUUGGGGCUAAUCGUAGCCUCAAGCACCAUGUGAUACUCCGAGACUGGUUUUCUGGGACGCUACAAACUUGGAAUUUGAUCCUAAGGUUUUAAGGUGUCCAAGGGAGUCUGACAAGCCGCGUUAAGUAGAGUUUUGAUCAUCGGUGUGUAGCGCGCCACAUCUAUGAGCAAGAGGCGACAAGACAUUUUAGGAAAAAGUGUGAUUCUUUCUUUCAGAAGUCUAUCAUGCUUAAAGUGUAUCUCUCUGCUAUUGAUUCGUGCUCUCCUCUUUCAAAAAUAUGCCUCCACGUCGAGCGAGAAGAAAUAAUGAUGGUCAGCAACCUCAACCCGCUGACCCAUUGAAUGGAAAUGUAUCUCAUACUGAAUUUUGGGCAGCCUUUUAGGCACUGGCCCAAGCUGUUGCUACGAUUAUUCUGGCCAACCCAGCCCUGGCUCCACAGUAGUAGGGAGGUGAUUCAGCUGCUUCCAGGAUCUGUGACUUCAUGCAGAUUAAUCCGUUGGAAUUCUAUGGGUCCAAGUCUGAAAAGGAUCCACGAUUAUUUUUAGAGGAGGUGCAGAAGAUUACUCAAGUGAUGCAUGUAUCUGAUGAAGAUACUGUGGAUUUGGAUGCGUAUAGGUUGAAAGACCAUGCUUAUGACUGGGUUGUUGCUUGGAGGAAAGGUAGAGGUGAGGGAGCUGUCCCUAUAACUUGGCAAGAGUUCCAGGAUAUAUUUCCAAAUAAGUUUUUCCCUUCGGAGAUGAGGGAGGCGAAGGUGGAAGAUUUUAUGAACCUGCGAUAGGGCUCUAUGACUAUUAGGGAGUACUGUCUAAAGUUCAAUCAGUUGGCCAAGUAUGCUCCUGACUUAGUGGUUGACAAUCGGGCUAGUAUGAGUAAGUUUGUGACUGGAGUGUCUAUUUAUGUGGUUAAGAAGUGUAGGUCUUCUAUGCUGAAUAGUGAGAUGAAUCAUUCUAAGAUGAUGAUUCAUGACCAACAGAUUGAGGUAGAUAAGACUAAGGAAAGAGAUAGAAUGAGAGGAAAUAAGAGCGCUAGGUCCGAGCAGCGCAGAUAGGGUCAGACUAGAUCGCAGGGAGGGAGUCGUCCUCAGUAUCAGGAUCGUUCAUGUAAGCCAUCACAGUCAUCUGCUAGUGCUCCUGUUCCUAGAAGUAGCCAGGAGUAAGAUAGCAGGUCAUAUGCAUCUAGGUCCCAGUACAGUGCUGGCAGUAAGCCAUAUUGUCCCUUGUGUCCUAAGUGUGGUAGGACUCAUUCGGGUGAGUGUUGGGGUGAGAAGAGGGGUUGUUUCCAGUAUGGUGACAUGGGUCACAGAGUUAGAGAUUGUCCACAGGAUGGACAAGGGCGUCAUGACUAUCGCCCUCAGACCUAGACUCAGACUGUUAGUGCUCCAGUUCCAGCGACUCGCCCAGCCCCAGCUCAGGGCGCCUCUUCUAGCAAUGCUGGUAGGCAGCGCCAGAAUAGAUUCUAUGUUUUACCGUCCCACCAUGAACAGAAGGACUCUCCUGAUGUUGUUACGUGUAUGCUUUGUAUAUUUUAGUUUGAUGUGUAUGCUUUGUUGGGGCCUGGAUCCAGUUUCUUAUAUGUCACACCUUUGAUUGCUUUGAAUUUUGAAAUGAGUCCUAAGAUUAUUCCUAAGCCUAUCCUAGUUUCUACCCCAGUGGGUGAUUCGAUUGUUGCCCAGAAAGUGUAUAAAAAGUGUCCUGUUACCGUUAUUCAUAGAGUUUUGUUGGCUGAUCUGAUUGAGUUUGACAUGGUAUAUUUUGAUGUGAUUCUGGGUAUGGAGUGACUGUAUUUUUCUUAUGCCUCUAUUGAUUGUCGGACCCGAGUGGUCAAGUUGCAGUUUCUGGGUGCAUCCGUAUUUGAGUGGUCUGGGAAUUCUGUGUCACGCAAGAGUCAUUUUAUCUCUUACCUCAAAGCUAGAAAGCUUAUUUCCGAGGGGUGUAUUUACCAUUUGGUUAGAUUCAAAGACACUAAGUCUGAGACUCGAACUCUCCAGUUUGUUAACGUCGUCAAUGAGUUUUCUGAUGUCUUUCCGGAUGAUCUCCUAGGGAUACCUCCUGAUAGAGAGAUAAAGUUUGGGAUUGAUCUUUUUCCUGAUACUCAGCCCAUUUCUAUUCCUUCUUACCAUAUGGACCAUGCAGAACUUAAGGAGUUGAAAGAGCAACUCAAAGAUCUACUAGAUAAGGGGUUCAUAAGGCCCAGUGUUUCUUCUUGGGGUGCUCCUGCAUUGUUUGUGAGAAAGAAAGAUGGCUCUUUGCAUAUGAGCAUUGAUNNNNNNNNNNNNNNNNNNNNNNNNNNNNNNNNNNNNNNNNNNNNNNNNNNNNNNNNNNNNNNNNNNNNNNNNNNNNNNNNNNNNNNNNNNNNNNNNNNNNNNNNNNNNNNNNNNNNNNNNNNNNNNNNNNNNNNNNNNNNNNNNNNNNNNNNNNNNNNNNNNNNNNNNNNNNNNNNNNNNNNNNNNNNNNNNNNNNNNNNNNNNNNNNNNNNNNNNNNNNNNNNNNNNNNNNNNNNNNNNNNNNNNNNNNNNNNNNNNNNNNNNNNNNNNNNNNNNNNNNNNNNNNNNNNNNNNNNNNNNNNNNNNNNNNNNNNNNNNNNNNNNNNNNNNNNNNNNNNNNNNNNNNNNNNAGUGUUCAGACCAUAUCUGGAUAUGUUUGUCAUAGUGUUCAUCGAUGAUAUACUAGUGUACUCCCGUAGUGAGGAUGAACAUUCUGAUCAUCUCCGAACUGUCUUGCAAACCCUUAGAGACCACAAGUCGUUUUCCAAGUUCAGUAAGUGUGAGUUUUGGCUAAGGUCAGUUGCUUUUCUGGGUCAUAUCAUUUCUUUCGAGGGUAUUAGAGUUGAUCGCCGAAAGACCGAAGCUGUUAAAAAUUGGCCUAGACCUAUUUCUCUGAAUGAUAUCCGAAGUUUCUUAGGUUUAGCUGGCUAUUACCGCCGUUUUAUUGAUGGCUUCUCCUUUAUAGCGUCUCCUAUGACUCGGUUGACCCAAAAGAAAGUGAAGUUCUUAUGGUUCAAAUCUUGUGAGAAGAGUUUUUGGGAGUUGAAUACUCGACUCACUUCAGCCCCUGUUUUGACUUUGCCUGAUGGUGUUGAUAGUUUUGUGGUGUACUGUGAUGCUUCGAGAGUUGGGUUGGGUUGCGUAUUGAUACAGAAGGGUAAGGUGAUAGCUUGUCAUUCUAGACAGUUGAAACCCCAUGAGAAAAAUUACCCACCCAUGACCUUGAGUUGGCUGCUGUUGUGUUUUCUUUGAAAAUCUGGAGACACUAUUUGUAUAGUGUCCAUGUUGAUGUUUUCACUGAUCAUAAGAGUUUGCAGUAUGUGUUUAACUAGAGAGAAUUGAAUNNNNNNNNNNNNNNNNNNNNNNNNNNNNNNNNNNNNNNNNNNNNNNNNNNNNNNNNNNNNNNNNNNNNNNNNNNNNNNNNNNNNNNNNNNNNNNNNNNNNNNNNNNNNNNNNNNNNNNNNNNNNNNNNNNNNNNNNNNNNNNNNNNNNNNNNNNNNNNNNNNNNNNNNNNNNNNNNNNNNNNNNNNNNNNNNNNNNNNNNNNNNNNNNNNNNNNNNNNNNNNNNNNNNNNNNNNNNNNNNNNNNNNNNNNNNNNNNNNNNNNNNNNNNNNNNNNNNNNNNNNNNNNNNNNNNNNNNNNNNNNNNNNNNNNNNNNNNNNNNNNNNNNNNNNNNNNNNNNNNNNNNNNNNNNNNNNNNNNNNNNNNNNNNNNNNNNNNNNNNNNNNNNNNNNNNNNNNNNNNNNNNNNNNNNNNNNNNNNNNNNNNNNNNNNNNNNNNNNNNNNNNNNNNNNNNNNNNNNNNNNNNNNNNNNNNNNNNNNNNNNNNNNNNNNNNNNNNNNNNNNNNNNNNNNNNNNNNNNNNNNNNNNNNNNNNNNNNNNNNNNNNNNNNNNNNNNNNNNNNNNNNNNNNNNNNNNNNNNNNNNNNNNNNNNNNNNNNNNNNNNNNNNNNNNNNNNNNNNNNNNNNNNNNNNNNNNNNNNNNNNNNNNNNNNNNNNNNNNNNNNNNNNNNNNNNNNNNNNNNNNNNNNNNNNNNNNNNNNNNNNNNNNNNNNNNNNNNNNNNNNNNNNNNNNNNNNNNNNNNNNNNNNNNNNNNNNNNNNNNNNNNNNNNNNNNNNNNNNNNNNNNNNNNNNNNNNNNNNNNNNNNNNNNNNNNNNNNNNNNNNNNNNNNNNNNNNNNNNNNNNNNNNNNNNNNNNNNNNNNNNNNNNNNNNNNNNNNNNNNNNNNNNNNNNNNNNNNNNNNNNNNNNNNNNNNNNNNNNNNNNNNNNNNNNNNNNNNNNNNNNNNNNNNNNNNNNNNNNNNNNNNNNNNNNNNNNNNNNNNNNNNNNNNNNNNNNNNNNNNNNNNNNNNNNNNNNNNNNNNNNNNNNNNNNNNNNNNNNNNNNNNNNNNNNNNNNNNNNNNNNNNNNNNNNNNNNNNNNNNNNNNNNNNNNNNNNNNNNNNNNNNNNNNNNNNNNNNNNNNNNNNNNNNNNNNNNNNNNNNNNNNNNNNNNNNNNNNNNNNNNNNNNNNNNNNNNNNNNNNNNNNNNNNNNNNNNNNNNNNNNNNNNNNNNNNNNNNNNNNNNNNNNNNNNNNNNNNNNNNNNNNNNNNNNNNNNNNNNNNNNNNNNNNNNNNNNNNNNNNNNNNNNNNNNNNNNNNNNNNNNNNNNNNNNNNNNGAAAGAAGGGGAAGCUUAGUCCCCAUUAUGUUGGUCCUUACAAAAUUCUUAGACGUGUUGGUAAGGUAGCUUAUGAGGUCGAGUUGCCUUCCGAGUUGUCCUCUGUUCAUCCAAUAUUCCAUGUCUCCAUGCUUAGAAAGCAUAUUAGCGAUGCUGUGGUAGUGGAUUCCUCUGUGAGUGCUGAAAUUCAAGAAAAUCUUUCUUCUGAUGAGAUUCUUGAUUUUUGUGUCCGAAGACUAAGGAACAAAGAAGUUCCCUUGGUCAAGGUUUUGUGGCGAAACCAAUCUGUUGAGGGUGCAACUUGGAAAGCUGAGGUGGAUAUGUAAUCCAAGUACCCGCACCUAUUUUCCGCAAACUCCGAUCAAUCUAAAGGUACCCUUCUUUCCUAAAUCAUGCACUUUUGAUAAAAGUUGCAGCAGUUCAGCUGUCAUUUAUUAUGUGUUCAUCUGUAGUUUCUUGAAUUUAUGCAUUCUAUGUUGCAUUCGGAGUGAGAAACGAUGUGAUGAUGAGUCUAACGAAUGGUUUCAGUUGUAUGCUCUAUUCCCUGUCUAAUCUUGGCAUGUCUAGCAUCAUUCGAGGAUGAAUGUUUUCAAGGGGGGAUGAUGUAAUACCCCGGGAAAUUUUUCGUUGAAAUUUUGUGCAUAAACGUGUUGGGUUCUAUCUUCUAGAAUGAAUUAUAAAUUUUUCGUGCAAAAUGUCUUAGAUUAUAACCCAUCAUUGCGUAGAGUAUCGAAUAAUAUUUCCAACGAUAUGUGGAUCAUCCAAAACGGACACCCGAGCGACGAGUUAUGAACAUUCCAAUCGAACCGUGAAUAGUAGUGAACAGUAAAACGUGCAGGAAAAAGUACUGAGGCCUGGCAUAUUUUUGCUCCAAAUUUAAAUGAUCAUAACUUGUUGUACAUAAUGAUCUGCGUGAUCUAAUCUAUAUCAACGGAAAACUCAGCGAGUUCUCUUUCCAAUGAAAUUGGUUUCACCCAAUUUGUCUAUCAGAGCAAAAAGUUAUGGUCGAUCUACUUCAACCUAUCGAAAGCAAAUUUUUGGGUCAACUUCAAACGAUCAUAACUUCCCGUACACAAUGAUCUGGGUGAGAUACUAUAUAUUAACGGAAAAAUAUGAGAGUCCUCUUUCUAAUGAAAUUGGUUUCAUCCAAUUUGGAUAUCGAAGCAGAACGUCAUGGUUGAUCUACUUAAGACUAUCAAAAUAGUCCACCAGAGAACAGAUUCGAGAAUUAUUUAAUUUUUUAGGGGCGUUUUGGUCAUUCCCCCUCACCCAAAAUCCAUCCAAACCCUAUAUUAAAGCCUAUUAGAAGCAUUAUAUGUUAUAUUUCAUGAAAUUCCCUGAAAAAGAAAACCGUAAGCUCCUACAUCCAACUUUAAGAAUCUCCAAAGUUCACCAUUAAUUCUGCAAAUUUAUUCAAGAUUCCAAGUUCAAGAACUCCAAGAACCAUCAUUCAAAGGCACGAUUAACAUCUCAAAAAUGAGUAUCGAUCUAAAGUUCAUCAUUCAAGGUAUGUGGGGNNNNNNNNNNNNNNNNNNNNNNNNNNNNNNNNNNNNNNNNNNNNNNNNNNNNNNNNNNNNNNNNNNNNNNNNNNNNNNNNNNNNNNNNNNNNNNNNNNNNNNNNNNNNNNNNNNNNNNNNNNNNNNNNNNNNNNNNNNNNNNNNNNNNNNNNNNNNNNNNNNNNNNNNNNNNNNNNNNNNNNNNNNNNNAAUUUUCUUUACAAAGGCAUGAUUUUUAUUUGAUUUUUACGAAUUUGAAGCAUGAACCCAUAUCUUAUGAUGAUUAUUAUGAAAUCUUGAUGUUUAUGAUUUUUAAAGAUGAAUUUACAUGUGUGCAGAUAUAAAGUAUGAAUCUUGAAUGAUAUUUAUCAUGAUUUUGAUAUUUGGGAGAAAUCUUUAGCACCGAGUAGGAGGUAUAAAGCAAUCUUACUUCCCUAGAACUACGUGCCCCUGUAGGAGUGAGCCUGAGGUUGAUUUAUAUAGUGAUCACUAGUUUGUGUGGAUUUGAUAUAGAUAGUCCUACUUCGAUGGCAAGGAUAGGACGGCUCUCCCCAACGUGGGUUGUACAUUGGACUCCAUGUAGCUCACAUGGUUUAUGUCGGUUAUAGGAUCUCCCAGUGUGUGUGUGUUUCCUUGUGUCUACGGUGAAUGAUGAAGUGAUUUGAAAGUAGAAUUGUGAAAGUUAUUCUUNNNNNNNNNNNNNNNNNNNNNNNNNNNNNNNNNNNNNNNNNNNNNNNNNNNNNNNNNNNNNNNNNNNNNNNNNNNNNNNNNNNNNNNNNNNNNNNNNNNNNNNNNNNNNNNNNNNNNNNNNNNNNNNNNNNNNNNNNNNNNNNNNNNNNNNNNNNNNNNNNNNNNNNNNNNNNNNNNNNNNNNNNNNNNNNNNNNNNNNNNNNNNNNNNNNNNNNNNNNNNNNNNNNNNNNNNNNNNNNNNNNNNNNNNNNNNNNNNNNNNNNNNNNNNNNNNNNNNNNNNNNNNNNNNNNNNNNNNNNNNNNNNNNNNNNNNNNNNNNNNNNNNNNNNNNNNNNNNNNNNNNNNNNNNNNNNNNNNNNNNNNNNNNNNNNNNNNNNNNNNNNNNNNNNNNNNNNNNNNNNNNNNNNNNNNNNNNNNNNNNNNNNNNNNNNNNNNNNNNNNNNNNNNNNNNNNNNNNNNNNNNNNNNNNNNNNNNNNNNNNNNNNNNNNNNNNNNNNNNNNNNNNNNNNNNNNNNNNNNNNNAUGAUUACUCUGUUGAUAUUUGAGGGUUGUUUAUGGAAACCCCGUUGAUUUGUGUUGAACUGAAUGAAAAUGGCUCAAAGGGUUAGCUUGGGGCUACUCAUAGCCUCAAGCACCGUGUGACGCUCCGGGACCCAUUUUCUGGGGCGUUACAGUAACCUACUCAAUUGAAGAAAUCAAAUACAAGCUACCUUGCAAGAGUCUUGCACUUCCGUAAAGCUUCCAAAUAUUUCAAUUUGUUUCAAUAUAUAAUUUCCAUAAUAAUACAAAUCUAUUGGCACCUAUUUACAAAUUCUUACUCUAAAAGUCCUAAACCUAAACCUCAAUUUCUCUAAUUCCAGAUUAUGGAGCAAAGUACGAAAAAAAUAAAUAAACAGGAAAUAAAAACUGUACUUAUCGCCAUCAAAUUAAUCUAAAGCAGUGACCUAAUUCUAAUUGAUGUCAAUAAUUGGCUCAUCACCCAAAACAUAAUUAAUUUGUUUUUUAUUUUCCACUAACUAAUUGUUACCAAGAAACUUUGGCAGCAACAUUAAGAUCCUAUUGGCAGUAACAAAUAUUGACCAAUUGUUAGACACUUUAGGCAUUAACAUUCUCUCCAAACUGUCAAUAAUUAGAAUAAUUAUAUAAUUAUAGAAAAAGUAACACUUGAUAAUUUAAAACUUAAUUUAUACAAAAUUCAACCCAUUUAUUUUAACAUGGUAGUGAACGGCUCACCUUAGCGUGCCUACGCUAUCGAUAACCCCUCCUACAACCAUUGUGAUGGAAAACUGCCCCUAGUGCGUGACUCUCUCCUUGCCCUAAAUAUCUGACUCUAUUAUUAUUAUAGAUGAUAAAUCUUAACCACUUAAUUUUAUUUUUAUAUUGACCACAUAAGUUAAUAAAUUGCUAUUUUAACGCAUUAAUUUAUUAAUUAAAUAAUUAUUUAAAAUAUUCAAAACUUUCACACAACUCAAGCAUUGAUAUUACUUAUCUGUGAGUCAUAAUUUACGUACAUAAACUACAGGGAGAGCUAGAAUAAAAAAGAGGAAAUGAUUUCCCAAACGACCGGGAGGGUCAUUACACCCUAGUUGGAAGGGUGUUAGUACCGUGCCAUGGGUACCAACGCCGGCUGUGUGAAUUUACUACACUAAUUUACUAUCUCGAAGGACUAAGGAUGUCAAGCUAACGGGUGACCCCUGUGAGAUAAUCAAGCCUAAACUGACGGGUGACUCCUCAUAUCCUACGCUGGCUACGUAGUUCCAGAGUUCAGGGACUAAUACUAAUGACUCCGCCUAUCUAACGGGGAAGACGCCAUUUCUGUCCUCGCUCGGUGCUAAAUCCUACUCCCAACUGAACUAACUCGGAAUACUGAACUGUUAUGAUUUUAACUGAUUUUGAUGACUGGCUGAACUGAUAUUGCUCAUAUUAUGUCUGAAACUAUUCUGAAUUUACUGAGACUAAAUAAAUAGCUAUGUUUUUCGGUUAUUCAUAACUCCUAGGACUAGAUAGUAAUAAUAGUAAAAUAGAACUAAACUUGAUGGACCAAAUAUGAAAGCAUUCAUUCAAGAUCCACUCUUGCAGGUAUUUCAUCAAAUACUUGACAUACAUGUUGUAAAUUAAGCAUAGGAAUGAUUUAGAACCUGUAGUAAAAUCUUGAUUUCAACACCAACAUCACUAGUCAUGAAUUAAAUUAGUAACCAACAACAUUUAAAUACGCAGAGCAUAAUAAUCAACAUCAAUUUCAUGAAAACAUAGUAUAGGACAAGGUUCAUGAGAAUUCAUGGUUAAAAUCUCAAUUAAAAAUCAUAAUUUUUUGUAAAGAUCACAAUUUGAAUUUAAAACAUGGUACUUGGAUUCCAUGGGUGAAAGAAUCCCAUUAAUGAAGACUUAGCAUACCUAGGUGACGAAUUCUUGAAGUUUCUUGGGGAAAUUCUUGAUAAUUGCUCUAGAUUCUUGAAGGCUAGAGUUUUGCUAAUUAAGAGUGAUCUUCAAUUUGAAAAAAAUUGAGUGAAUAAUGACUUAACUAGGUUAUUUAGGGGUUAAUUUAUGUGUUUUGACUGAUUAGGGCCGUGGAAAAAAUUAAAUUACCCUUGAAAGAAUUUAAAUUUUCGUCACUGAAAGUUCCAAUUUUGGCCUUCACCGCAACGCAGUGAGCCACUAAAAGUCGGCUGAAACUAUUCAAAAAUGGACAACUGCGAAUUGUCUUUUGGCGCGACGCACCUUUAUCGUGGAGCCUCACUGAAAAGUGACAAUUCUUAAAAUGGACAUUGGCGCGAUGCAGCGCCACCGCGGUGUCUCACUGAAAAAUGACAAUUGGGAAAAUACCCAUUGGCCCGAUGCGGUGCUUUCGCAUUGACACACUGAAAAAUAGAAAUUAGGACCUGGAACUUCACCGUGACGCGGUGGUGCUCAAUUUGGCAUGCUGCUUUACUUAAAGUGUCAUAACUUCUCACCCGAAUAUCAGAUUUGGGUAAAUUUUAUAUCGUUGAAAAGCUAAUUCAAUUUUCUACCAUCUGGUGGAUCUACAUCUGGAAAAUUCUAAGUGCACUAAAAAUUCAACAUAAAACUCUUGUACACUAAGAGCGGACCUGAGUCAGAAAAGCACGGGGUAUUACAUAGGCCCUUUAACUAUAAUAAAGUUGAACGAAAAAAUACUUCAAUUCUACCUGGCAAAAUGAGUGUAUACACUUAAAACCAAAUGUGUCAGAGUUAAAAUUGAAGUAUUUUUUUUUUCAGCUUUUGUAUAGUUAAAGGGUUACUUGUGCAUGAUAAAGUUAAAGGUCAUAGUUAUUAUGUGUCUUUUUUAUUAGGUGACAUCAUAUGAGUGGAUUACUAAUCCAUGUAGGAGCUAUUGGGUUUCACGCAUUUAAGUUAGAGAAUUGGAGUAUUUUUUUGUUCAACUUUUAUAUAGUUAAAGGGUCUACUUGUUCAUUGGAAAAGCUAAAGGGCAUUGUAUUGUUUGGUUCAAUUUAUAGAUCCUGUUUAUGUAUUAUGCCAUUGUUUAGUUAUUAAUUCUCCUAAUACUACCUACCUUACAUGUUUCCAUUACUAUAUAUAUUUUAGGAUUGCUUCACUAUAAAUUAUUUUAAUUCUAAUCAUAUAUGUUUCUCUUAUCAUAUAUAUUUUAGGACUACUUAAUUAUUAAUUUUUCUAAUGUUUCUCUCCAUAUAUGUUUUUCUAACUAUAUAUAUUUUAGAGUUGCUUAAUUAUUAAAUUAUUCUAAAACUAUUUACCAUAUAUGUUUGUCUUACCAUAUAAAUUAUAUAUUAGAAAUGCUUAGUUGUUAAAUUAUCCUAAUACUAUUUACCAUAUAUAUUUCUUAAUUGUUCAAAUAUAUGUUUCUAUUGUCAUGUAUAUUUUAGGACUACUUAUUUAUUAAUUCUCCUAAUACUACUUACCAAUUACCAUCUAUGUUUCUCUUACCAUAUAUUUUUAAGGAUUCUUAAUUUUUAUAAUAUGUUUUUUUUCUGACCAUAUGUUUUAGAACAACUUAGUUAUUAAUUUUCCUAAUACUUCUCAUAUGUAUGUUUCUCUUACCAAAAACCUUCAUGAAAGUCACCAUCCCAUGUGAUUGUUUCAACUAUAUAACCAUGUCCAAUUUCCAUCCACUUCAACACCAUAUUCAACCUCACUAAUCUCUAUAACAAUAUUUUGCUAUAGCACAGAUAGCAAGGUACAAUGAUGUUUCAAAAUCUUGUGAGCUAACACAACAGACAAUGAUCAGCCACAAACUGAAAGGUCUUGAUUCAAGACCUUCACCUCAGGUUGUGGCUGAUUAUUGUCAGCUGAAGUUGGCUCAGAAGAUUUUGUAGAGCCGUUGCACCUUCCAAAUAUUCUUUCCAUGCUGUAACGAAAGUAGAGCUUUCAAUCAAAAUGGUUCAAGCAUAUCUCUAUCUAACUUCUUCAAAAAAAAAUUACGCAAAAGUAUUGUUUUUCCCAGAAUAGUUCCAGUAAGAAAGCUAAUUUUUUUUAGCUUCUGUCUUCUCAUCAAUAUGCUAGGAAUUAAAAAAAGAGAGGAAAAUUGAAGGUUUUGAGAUGUAUUUUUUUACUACAGUAGCAUUUUUUCCGAUAGUCCUCGGCUUUUUGUUUCUCUUUGUUAUCUCUUGUACUUCAAUUAUCACACUUGUUUUUUGUUGCUGCUAUUCUUUUCUCAGAAUGAUAGGACAUACUUUUUUUAGUAUCUACUUUGAUAUGCGCUUCCUUAAGCUGAGGGUCUAUGGAAACAACCUCUCUACCUAAGGUAGAGGUAAGAUUUUCAUACACUCUUACGGAGGGUAUGUUGCUCUUCUAACCAACUUUGGGAUCCCAAGAAUGAUUUCAAAUGCUUGUAGAAUAGAUAAUCUUGUUUCCUAUUUGUUUCCAUUUUGCUCGGUCUCUUAAAAAUGUUAGAUGGGUGUGUGACCGAUCAUCUAUCAAAGAAUUUCGCAAGUAUGGUUACCUCUUCUAAGGUAAAUUUCAACUUCGGUAAACCUCAAGACUUGUGUAUAAUACCGGAAGAGGCAACAAAGGCUCAGGGGCAACUCAAGUUCGUUGGUGGCCUAAGGACAAAAAUGAAUCUGAGGCCCUAAUUUUUUUUAAGAAAAAUAAAUAUUUUCUUAAUUUUAAGUUUAUUCUUCUAUCUUUUUGAGAUGCAAAGUUAUUUCUUUUUCUGAUAUAUGAUUUUUCUUUUAUAAAUAGUACUCCUUCCAUCUUAAUUUCUUUUUGAUUUAUUUUGACUUGACACAGUGUUUGGAGUUUAAAAAAAUAAAAAAAACUUUUUAAUCUUGAAUUUUUAAAUUAAAAACAUAUAAAAUACACCAAAAAUAUUCUUUAACCUUAUAACCUUAAACAUGUUUUAAAAAAGGAUAAAAAUAAUAAAAACUGAUGAUACAAAAUAUUUUUUUAAAUAAACCCUAUAAUAAUUCUAUUAUUACUAAGAAACUGAGGGCCCUCAAGGCUAUCGGUGUCAACUAAUGUCCAAAAGAAAGGAUCUAAACCUAUUUUUAGUUUUAAUCAAUAGAAAGGAUCUAUACCUAGUUUUAGUUUUAACUUCUGUCAAUUAUAUCAUCUGUGUUCCAUAAAGCUACCAUAAGCGGCGUUCUAUUUUUGCAUGUAUUUGGAACAUGGAACUGUUACCUUGAGCAGCCUGUAGAAGUAAUUAUAUAUUUUUCUAUAUCAAGCUACGUAAUUUCUUCACUUGUACUGUAUUUCCUUCUUAGCUUUAAGUGCAAACGGGACCUAAACCUUUGCGGCGAAUAAGGAAUUCUCGAUGCCAGCAAGUAGUAAAGACACACUACAAGAAAUCUGAUUUUUAGUGGCGAAAAAAGUCGCCACUAAAUAACGAAAUGUCGUCACUAAAUAUCUUUUGGCAGCAACAACUAAGGCGUUGGUAGUACUUCCGAAACUAAAAGUUAUUUGCGACGACAAAUCUAGGUUGCCACAAUAAAAAGGUAAUUGUGACGAUUUUUAUCGCCACAAAAGGUAGAUAAUUUCGCUGCAAAUUGUAUUUUGACAAAACACAUAUGGGUUAGGUCGCCACUGAUAUAGUAGCAUUAGCAGCGACUUUGCCACUGUAAAAUCAUCAUCAUUUGUGACGACUUAUUUCUUGCCACAAAAACCAUGCUAUUAGAUGUGACGACUUAUGGAUCGCCACAAAAACACCAUUAUCUGUGACGACUUAUUUCUUGCCACAAAAACUUUCCUAUUAUCUGUGACGACUUAAGUGUUGUCACAAAAUUACUAUCAUCUGUAACAAUUGUUUCCUCGCCGCAAAAACCUUUAUAUUAGUAGCAACCUUUAUCGCCGCAAAAUUAGUAUCACUAGUGACCACACAUUUAUAUUAGUAGCAAUCAAUGUCACGCCUAUACCUUUAAAUAUUAGUGGCGACUCUUAUAUCUUGUUGCUAAAAAUAAACUUAUAAUAGCAAAAUUCAUUGCCUCAUAAAUACUUAAUCAUUAGUGGCAAGUCUCAAUUUGCCACUAGAUUAAAUUUUGUGCUCAAAUAAAAUACUGUUUUCAUAAACCAAAGCAUUAAAUUUAUUUAAUACCUAUAUUAGACAAAAUGGACAACAAAUUUAAGAACUACAUAUAAUAUUAGCGAUUAAAGGCAUCCCAUAGAAUUUAACAAAAUUAUUCUCCGACUAACUAUUACAAGUAUUUCACUUACUAAGAAGUCAACGAUACAUACAUUAAUAAAAUAAUGAUAUAUAGUACUUCUGUUUUACCAUAUUCAUACAUAUGAUCAAAAAUCAAACAUGCAUUCUAUGCGUUCAUGCUCCUCCUUGGUCAACCCAUUGUUUAAGAACGCCCUCGCCAUUAAAACAAACCAAGUCACUUUAUGAUUGUAGAAAAAAAAAAGUGCAUAUUUAUACUGAAUGAACUAAAAGGUAGUGAUGAAGAUUUCGUUAACGAAGUGGCAAGUUCACCCUUAAAAUGAUUAAUUCGAACUUCACCCCUUAAAAGAUUUAAAGUGUACGUAAAUCUUGUCCUACCUUGUAGAGGUAGAGAUGUUGUUUUCGAAUCUACUAUUUGUUUACAUAUAUUAUAGUUUUGACCAUGUAUAAAUAAUGUAUUUUUCUCCGAGGGAGAUUCGGGUGAACCCCCUUGUCCCUCCUAGCUCAACCCCUGCUCUGUAGCCUAUAUCAAUUCGCUAUCGAAGCACAAAGCCUCAAACUAACCAUACGUAAAGUGAGAAUAACGUAAAGGUUGUGAAAAUUGGUCUCAUUGUGUAGAGAUAAGAAACACAUUCAUUCAAAUAUAUGUCAAUUUCCAAUCUAAUAUCUCAAUAGAUUGUAAAUAUUUUAUACCUGAAAAUGAUCCUUCCAAAUUCAAGCAAACCUGCUGCAAUUAGUCAGUGGAUUCCAACUUUUGAAGAUAUAGUAGCAAGAAAAGGUGGUCAAUGCGUUGAAGCCAGCGGUUAGCGACCAGGAAAAUGUAUCCCAGGAAACAUCAAUCACAGGAAGUUACACUGAUAAACAAUCAUUCUUUGUUUUCUUUCUUUGGUAAUAUUUCCAGAAUUUCAUCCAUUGUCCUUAGCAUUUUUUCACAUUUUCAUUUGCAAAUAAUUAAUUUGUAUUUGUGACUUACAGAUAAAAGAAAGUCAAAGUGCUUAUGGUUCUUUUCUGGACAAUGAGUUGGACAAGAAAUUACCUGUUGCAUUCCAUCCAUGAGAGCAGCCAUUUUUUCUUGAAACAUUUUUUCUACUUCUCCUUUAAUGUGUUCAUGUUCCUCUUCCAGUUUCUUUUGCAAAUCCUGAUCCAUAUCUCUUUUCAAAUCGGCAGCCAUUUGUUCACGCUCUUCUUGCAACUUUCUUUCCAUGUUAAGUUGUAUCUCUUGACACAUACUUUCUACCACUGAAGACACACUAGCCUCUAUGUUUGCCUAUUGUGUUUGAUUCUUUUUAGUAGGAUUCUUACCAUAUCCUUUUCCCCGAACAUAUCCCGAUUUCUCAACAGGAACCGAAGUUAAAAUCUCAUCCCCGGUCAUGCGAAGCUUGAUCUCUUCGGAUUGUUGUUCAACAACAAGUUUCUGGAGUUGUCCCUAUAAUAAUAUAUAACCAUUUACAACCAUUGGUUAAUAUAUUGAGCGUAGCCUAUAGUACAUCAAAAAGGUAUAUGAUAGUGAUUUCAGAAAAUUACGUGAAUUUGUUCAGAUUGUGGAUCCAGCCAUACACGUUCUCCAUUAACAUUCUUACGUGUGUGUUGGAUCUCCCAGAUUUUAUCUGGUGUCUCUUUUUCUCAUGUUAGAGGAUUUCUAUACAAUAUCAAUAGGAAAAAUAUGUUUAUAUAACCAUAAGAUUAUAUAGAAUGAUAUAAAUAAGUAUAUGUAAUAAUAAGGGAACAAAUAUGAUGUAUCUUAACCGUAGAUUCCUCUACUUCUGCAAAUGAUCUUGUACCACAACAAUGUUUAGUUAUUUGUUUUUCUCUAUUUCUUUUGUUUCUCUCGCUGACGACCUGCACUUAAGUGAACAGAUUAGGAAAUCUUGAAUCAAUCAAACAAUCAAUCAAUUUCUUAACCGUAGAUUCCUCUACUUCUUCAAAUGAUCUUGUACCAGAACAAUGUUUAGUUAUUUGUUUUUCUCUAUUUAUUUUGUUUCUCUCACUGAUGACCUACACUUAAGUGAAAAGAUUAGGGAAUCUCGAAUCAAUCAAACAAUCAAUCAAUCAUGCACGCCGCAAUCCUAAUACAAAAUAACUUCCAUUUCCAACAAAGUAGACUUCUAUUUCCAACAAACCAGAAUUCCACAAUCCACAUUUCAAAGCAAAUGUGUAGAUAGAAGUCAGGCUAUAAGAGAGAAACAUCAAGUUGCAGGUUCACCAUUCUGCAUUUGAAAUACGCUAGUCUAAGAAACUGCAACAGAGGUGCUAUUACUUGGCUUGCCGAUGACCAGGUCUGAGGGUGUAUGGCAUUUAUAUUUAAAGGUACAGAAAUAUAUUUUCUCAAAAAAAAUUUCAAUUAUUUGUUCGUUACCUUGAAUUUAUCACUGCCAAAAUGUUCCACUAGGUGCUUCCAGUCAUCCAACUCAACAUCCUCUGGACGAUGCGACACUCUAUCUUUAUCAUUGUUAUAGCUUGAGUAGAUAACAUGUAAUCGAGCUUUCCAUGAUCUAAAAAUUCGUUGCAUAGUACUUAUCACAAAACUUUGCAACUUAUGCUCUGGAAGCCCUUCGAACUUCAAAUUUAUCCUGCACAUUUGUUAAACAAACAGAAACUGAUAAAUACUAUUUGGUCUUAAAAAAUAAUAUUAAAAUACUGUUUGGUCUGCAAGAUUCACAUCCGAGAACACAACCUGAGAAGUCAACUUCCAAGAACACAACCUGAGAACACAACAUGUAAUGGAUGCAGACAAUUAAGGUUUGCAAACGCUAUACCAGGUCACCCACGCAAGAUAUGGGUAAGAUCUCUCCACACAGUAAUGUAGAUUGCCUGAAAAGAAGCAUUCAUCAUCAUAGCCCAUUUUUUGGCGAUUUGUGAAGAUCCCGUCACUUGUUAUCCUCAUUGAUAACUAAACAAAGAUUUUAUCCAGCAAAAAUAUGUUGAAUAAUAAAAAGACAUGUUAGCUAGUCAAUCGAACACACAACACAGUUUACUAAAGCUCACAGACCAUACAAGCUGCUUUCCACAUAGAAUGUGAUACAGUAAUAGCCAAGUAAGAUGCUUUUCAAGUUCAGAUUUUGCUUUUUCAUGAACAUAAAAGAGAAAGAAACUAACAUGUCAUGGCUGCAGAAAAAGUAUUUUCAAUAAUACAAAGACACCAUAACUAGUCAACCAAACACAUAACACUAUUUACUGAAGCUCACAGAACAUGAAAGAUGCUUUCCAUAGUGAAUAUGAUAUAGUAAUAGCCAAAUAAGAGAAUGAAACCAAUACAAUAUUAAGAGUCAUUACCUUGACCCUAUACCACAUUGCUUCUCCAUGUUUUAGAACAAUGUUCUGCCAACUUCCAUCUCUAAAUGAGAAAGUGGUUCUCAUGAUCCAACCACAGUAAUUGUCAAUGUCUGUAGCUCCAGAACCCACGGCUCUAUCAAUGUCAUCUGGGAUCAUUAUUUUAAUUUUUCCUCCAUGUUUAAACUUAAAAUCCACGGUUUUGGAUUUGUAUUUCCCUCUGCCUUUCUUUUUAUUGAUGUGGGAAACUGCAAACCAAAAAAAUAUUUUAUUAUAAAUAAAACGUAUAUUUAGAUUGAUCCAGCAAAGUAAAAUAACCUGCACCAGUUUCAGCCUCUACACUAAGGCGUACACUUUCAUCUAUAUUUCUGGAUGAUUGUGUCUCUGGGGAUGUCCUUUGAAUAGGUCCUCUUUGCAUUUGUUGUGUUUGCAGAGGUCCUUUGCUUGGAUUAGAUGAUUGUCCUGUCUCUAAAGAAGUCCCAACAACUCCUAUUGGUUGUAUUUGUGGCAGAGAUGUUGUAUUAGAACUUAAACGUUAUCGAAAACUGCCACGGCCGCGUCCACGUCCCGCACCUCCUCUUCCACUUCUUCCUCAUCCUAUUCCUCUCAUUUUCUGUAAUAUUAGGUUAAAAAGGAGAUGUGUAUCAGAACCACAAAUUAAACAUGCCAAAAUAUAUAUCUAUUGCCGAGGAAAUUAUCGAUUUAUAAAAUGAAAUUUUAAAUCAAACAAUUUUAAAAUAUCAAACGGUUUGUUGAACUUUAUAAAUUUAUUGAUUCUACUUAAAAACACUAAUUUCACUGAUAAAUAAAAGUUGCAAGCAUAAUAAUACCAGAUACAAGAUAGCAUAAUAAGAACACAAAAUACAAGAUGUCGUCCUAUUUAGAACACAAAACACAAGAUGCUAGCCUAAUAUAAUAACGUCGCAAAACAAGAUGUCAGCCUAAUAAGAGCAAAAAACACAAUGAAUUUCUUAUCCAUCUUUUCUUCCCAAUCUCAGCAGGACAUAUCACUGUAUUCUCCAUCAGUAGCAUCAAGUAACUCUUCUUCACUUUCUUCAUUAUCUGAUACGUCCAUAUAAUUGUCAUUAAUGAAAUCAUCUUCCUCAUUUUCUUGAUCAAUGGUUCGUAAAACAAAUUCUGGUUCAACAUCAUCCCGGUGUAAAGGCACCUCAAUAUCGGUUUCAUGAUUAUUGGCACACAAAAUAUCUUAAACUUCAUCUGGUAAACAUCUUCAUUCAAUGACGUGUCUAGUUCAGCUUCAGGCACAUUUAAAAGAUCGCAAGGAUUAGUCUUUACAACAACAAGCCAAUCUUUAUCGACCAUGUCAUUCAAAUAGAAGACUUUUUCACACUGAGAUGCCAACAAAAAUGGCUCAUUUGUAUUCAAGACAUAAUGAGUAUUCACACUUGUAAAACCAUAUUUUUCAAUCUUAUAUCCUCUUUCGAGGUAAGCCACAUCCCACCAAUGAUACUUGAACAGAUGAACUUUUCUAUUUCCUGCAUAACGUAACUCAUAAAUACUCCUUAUUAGGGUAUGAAACAUCUCCCCUCACAAGAACUCCGUUGUUCUGUGUUUUUCUCACAAGCUCUUUUGUUUGAAAUCUAAAUCCAUUGAUCAUACAUGUUGAAUAUCUAUGUAUCAAUGGUUUUGGACCAAUAGCUAAGCUUUUGAGCUCAUCAUUUGCACGUCCUUGGGAAAAUAGUACAAAUAUCUACAGAAACAAACAAUACUACUAUCACUAAUAUAAGAAAAUUGAAUAUAUGCUAAUAUUUAUUAUGUCAUUUAAUUAGACACCUAUGCGUGCACGAAACGAAUCAAUAAAUCCAUUGUCAUUCACCCUAUGAUCACGUGUUGAACCUUCUACUUCAAUCCGUCUCAUGUAUUCCCUACAGUUUGCGUUAGUUGAGAUUAACUAAAUUAUAUUAAUGUCAAAUUAUAUUAGAAUUAAAAAGAGACUUACUCCCUGUAUUGUGAAAUCUCAUCACAAUUUUGAAGCACAUAAAUACAUGCUUGAUUGAACUCAUCAUGAGGUAGCCUAUUUCCUCCAUCUGAAGCCCCUUUUAUUUGCCCACUAUAUUUAAAAAUAGACAUCUCACCAUUUGUCAAAGAUUCAUCGUCAUUUCGAGUUGAUUUAUUAAACUUAGUUGAGAUGUUCUUUAAAUAUCGUGAACAGAACGUAAGGCUUUCCUCUACCAAAUAUGCUUCGGCAAUUGAACCCUCCGAACGACCUUUGUUGCAAUUUUAUGCUUUAAGCUCUCGCAAAUACCUAUAAAGAAUUAUCAUUUAAAUAAUUAUAGAAUAUUACAUUUUAAAUAUAUUGACAUUUAAUUUUAGAAUGAGACAAUACCACUCAAAAGGGUACAUGUUUCUAUAUUGAACGGGUCCACCAAGUUUUGCCUCUCUUGCCAAGUGAAUUGGCAAAUGAAUCAUGACAUCAAAGAACGCCGGAGGAAAAGCCAUUUCAAGUUUGCACAAUAUGAUAGGAAUUUCAGACUCUAGGAUAUCAAGAUCCUCAAUUCUUAGGCAUUUAGAGUAUAGAUUCUUGAAAAACUUGCCUAAUGCUAUAAUUGGUUCACAAACUUCCUUAGGGAAUAAACCACGUAUAGCUACUGGUAAAAUAUCUUGCAAUAAAACAUGAUGAUCAUAACACUUCAAUCCAUGUAUGUUUUUCUCACGCACAUUAACACACCCAGAAGUAUUUGAUGAAAAGGCACAGGGAACCUUCAAAUUAGCUAAGAAAUCGCAUAACUUGAACUUCUCUUCAGGAGACAAAGCAUAGCAUGCAACCGGUAACAAAAUAUUAUCUCCAUCCUCAAUUGGAUGUAAACUUUGCCUAAUUCCAAGAUCCAUCAAAUCAUAUCUACUUUUCAAUGUGUUUUUUGUCUUUCCAACCAUACUCAUCAUAGUGGAUAAAAAACUUUCAGACACAUUUCUUUCUAUGUGCAUUGGAUCAAGGUUAUGUAGUAAGUCAAAACCAUCCCAAUAAGGCAAUUUAAAAAAGAUAAUCUUCUUUCUCCAAUUAUAAGCAUCAUUGGAUAUAUUACGCUUUCUCUUUUGGCCUUUACCAAAAGUCACAUUUCCCAAAGCUUGUAACUGCUCAAGUGCUUCAACACCUGUUAAAGGAAUAGGUGUAGCCCUCAUAUCCAUCAAAUAAAACUCGAUUUCUAUGCCAUGGAUUGUUCAUCGGAAGAAAACAACGAUGACCCAAAUAACACAACUUACUACGUAAAGAAAUCAAAUGUGUAUCUUUGUGGUAACAAGGGCAUGCAAGUUUGGCUUUGGUUGACCAUACUGAAAGUUUACCAUAUGCAGGGAAGUCAUUAAUCAUCCAUAGGAGAGCAACACACAGAAGAAAAUUAGAUUUUGAGUGUGUAUAAUAAGUCUCCACCCCGUUCCAUAAUUCAUUCAACUCUUCAGUCAUUGGUUGUAAGUAUAUAUCAAUAUCAUUGCUUGGACACUUAGGGCCCAGAAUAAGAAGAGUCAUCAUGAAAUAUGGACUUUUCAUGCAAUCCCAUGGUGGCAAAUUAUAUGUAGCUAGCACGACUGGCCAAAUACUAUAAUUGGAACUCAAAUUCCCAUUAGGUUGAAACCCGUCACUGGCUAAACCUAAUCGAACAUUUCUUAACUUAGCUGAAAAGGUAGGAUAACGCUCAUUGAGAGAUUUCCAUUCAAUUGAGUCAGAUGGAUGUCGCAUGACACCAUCUUCAAUAUUUUCCUCCAUGUGCCACCUCAUCUUUUUUGCCGUCUCUUAUGCCAUGUACAAUCUUUGGAGCCUUGGUUUGAUUGGAAAAUGCUGUAAUACUUUAUGAGACACUUUCUUACCUUUAUGUUCUUCCGACUUCCACCUAGAUUCACCACACUUUGGACAUGAUUGGAAAUUCAAAUAGUCACACCAAUAUAAUAUGCAAUCAUUCUUACAUGCAUCAAUUUUGGUGUACCCCAAGCCGAGAUCGACAAGAACCUUUUUUGCUUCAUAGAAAGACUUGGGUACGAAUGACCCCUUAGGGAGAACCUCUAUUAAAAAGUUCAACAGCUCAUCCAUCGAUUUGUUGCUCCAGUGGUUAAGGCACUUCAACUGGAGUAAUUUAACAACAAAAGACAAUUUUGAGACUUUUGUGCAACCAAAAUAAAGUUGUCUCUGCGCAUCCUCUACCAAUAUGUAAAACUUUUUUUCAUGCACAUUUGGAUCUUCAUUGCCCUCCCGAGAAUUAGUAUUACCAUCCAUAUUUGUAUGUCCACAAGAAUCAUGAAUCAUUCCAAUAACAUCAUCAUGUUCAAUUUCAUCAUCUUCUACUUGAUCACUACGAGCAGGAUUAGAAUUUUCACCGCUAAUCAAUACUUCUCCAUGAUAAUCCCAAACUCUAUAAGAAUCCCAGAAGCCCUUAUUCAACAAGUGUAGUCUUACAUCAAUUCUCAGCUUAAACACAGUGUUCCUACACUCCUUACAAGGACAUCGAAUAAUAGUUCUCAACCCCAAUUGACUGAACGCCCGAUUAAGAAAGUUAUCUACUCCAUCUCUAUAUCUUUGGUCAGAUCUAUUCGAGAUAUCCAACCAACUUUUAUCCAUUCCUAUCUUUUCAACCAUUAAAAAAAACAAUUUAUUAAUUAAAGAUACAGGUAUGAAAACAAUCAAAAUAAAUACAAGAUCGAAGUGUAUUGUGAAUAUCACAAAAAAGUUCAAAAUCAUAGAAACUGAGAAAUAAAGUAUAAUAGCCAACACAUCGCCAGGCCUGUCAACAUGAUAAUUUACUCUUAAAGAAUAUUAUUAAACUAUUGUUUGAUCUAUAGGAUUUACUUCCAAGCACACAACUUGUGAAGUCAACUCCCAACAGUACCUAUGUUUUUCUUCUACUAAUGAAUUUUCUAAUUGAACAUCGGCCUUCUUCUCCAUAAUAUUUUUUAAUCAUAUGUCUGAAAUUCUUGAAGUUAUUAAUGUGGAUCUAUCAUCCUUAGAAAUUAAGGAGACAUGUUUAUCAUUCUUGGAAAAUUCAAGGCUCAGAUUUAGCUUUUUUAUGAACAUGAAAGAGAAAGAAACUAAUGUGUCAUGGCUGCAGACAUGGUUUGCAAAUGAAUGGUAUACCAGGUCGCCCCCAAGACACAAGUAAGUUUUCUCCACACAGUUAUGUAGAUUUUCCAGAAAGAAGCAUUCAUCAUCACAGCCUAUUUUAAGGUAAUUUAUGAAGAUCAUGUCACUUGUUAUCCUCAUUAAUUACUUAAUACAGAUUUUAUCCAGAAAAAGUAUUUUCAACCAUACAAAGACACCGUAACUAGUCAACCGAACACACAUCACAAUUUAGUGAAGCUCACAGACCAUGCAAGAUGAUUUCCAUAGAGAAUAUGAUAAAUUAUUAACAAACAGAAACUAAUCACAAAUGUAAUGUUCUGGACAAACAAAAAAAUAAAGUAUACAAUUUGAUUUUAAAUUAUUAUAGUUUCCUAUACGCAGGUGCAGGGGAAAAAGAAUCAAGCAUGCACUCAUUAACAUUUUGAAGAGUACGAGCAAGUUAGUAUAGUGAUUAUUCUAGAAGUACACGGAUGAAGAAAAAAAAUACUGGUGUGACAAUUAUAGUGCAGUGACUAUGGAUAUCAGUGGUGUAGUUAGAGUUGCACCGGAAGAUAUAGAAGUUCUAGUCUCAGGGAUCAUGCCUCCAACCUUUAAACCAAAGGCAACUGCCUACCCCUCCACCAAACCUAGAGUCAUGAUCUAUAGACCUCCUAAAAAAUGAUCAGCAAGUUUGAGGGGCCGUCAAUGUAUUCGGUCAUAGCAAAAAGACUUGAGGCUCAGAUAAGUGAUUAACCCUGACAAUGAAUUCUGACACUGCCAUGAAUGCAAACCCGAUAAAAUGGGUUGCCCCGCCAAGAUACAGGACUGAAACAACAAUGCCAGGUUCUAUAUUCUCAAUAACAGUCAAUCAUCACAACCUUAUUAUUUUCAUUCCAUUCUAUUAUUAUAUGGUUCUGUUGUUGCUUUGCCAACGCAGCCUCUGAGAAAUAGAGUAUAACAGCCAACACAUCGUCAAGACUCUCAAUGUGAUAAUUAACAAUUAAAGAAUAUUAUUAAAAUAUUGUUUGGUCAGCAAGAUUCACUUCCAAGCACACAACCUAUGAAGUCAACUCCCAGCAGUAACUAUGAUUUCUUCUAUUAAUUAAUUUUCUAAUUGAACACUGACUUUCUUCUCUGUAAUAUAUUUUAGUCAUAUGUUACGGGUAAGAUUUCUACAUACGGUAAUGUAGAUUGCCCAAAAAGAAGCAUUCUUCAUGACAACCCAUUUUCAGGUGAUUUAUGAAGAUCGCGUCACUUCUUCUUAUGACUUAUCCUCGUUGAUAAAUAAAUAUAGAUUUUAUCCAAAAAAAAGUAUUUUAAACCAUGCAAAGACACCGUAACUAGUCACCCGAACACACAUCACAAUAUAGUAAAGCUCACAGACCAUAUAAGAUGACUUUAACAGAGCAUAUGAUACAGUAAUAGUCAAACAAACAGAAACUAAUCACAAAUGUAAUGUUCUGGACAAACAAAAAAAUGAAGUAUAUAAUGUGAUUUUCAAUUAUUAUAGUUUCCCAUACGCAGGUGCAGGGAAAGAAGAAUCAAACAUGUACUCAUUAACAUUUUGAAGAGUAUGAGAAAAUUAGUGUAGUGAUUAGGCUAGCAGUACAGGGAUGAGGAGAAACAAUAUUGGUGUGGCAAUUAUAGUGCAGUGAAUGAGGAUAUCAGUGCUGUAGUUAGAGUUGCACCAGAAGCCAUAAAAGUUCUAGUCUUAGGGAUCGUGCCUCCAUCCUUAGUACCAAUGGCAACUGCCUACCCCUCCACUAAACCUAGAGUCAUGAUGUAUAGACCUCCUAAAAAAUGAUCAGCAAGUUUGAGGGGCCGUCAAUGUAUUCGGUCAUAGCAAAAAGACUUGAGGCUCAGAUAAGUGAUUAACCUAGGCAAUGAGUUUUCUGACACUUCCAUGACUGCAAACCCGAUAAUAUGGGUUGCCCCACCAAGAUACAGGCCUGAAACAACAAUGCCAAGUUCUAUAUUUUCAAUAAUAAUAAAUCAUCACAACCCUUUUUUUUUCUUUCCAUUACAUUGUUAUAUGGUUCUGUUGUUGCAUUGCCAACAUAGCCUCUGAGAAAUAGAGUAUAACGGCCAACACAUUGUUAGGACUCUUAAUACGAUAAUUAACUCUUAAAGAAUAUAAUUAAAAUACUGUUUGGUUUGUAAGAUUCACUUCCAAGCGCACAACCUAUGAAGUCAACUCCCAACAGUACCUAUGUUUUCUUUUGUUAAUUAAUUUUCUAAUUGAACAUCGGCCUUCUUCUCCGUAAUAUUUUUUAGUCAUAUGUCAGAAAUUCUUGAAGUUAUUAAUGUGGAUCUAUCAUCCUUAGAAUAAGGAGGCAUGUUUAUCAUUCUUAAAAAAUUCAAGGAUCAGAUUUUGCUUUUUUAUGAACAUGAAAGAGAAAGAAACCAACAUGUCAUGGCUGCAGACAAUGUUUGCAAAUGAAUUCUUUACCAGGUCUCCCCCCAAGACACGAGUAAGAUUUCUCCACCCAGUGAUGUAGAUUUUCUAGAAAGAAGCAUUCAUCAUCACAGCUUAUUUUAAGGUGACUUGAGAAGAUCACGUCUCUUAUUAUCCUCAUUGAUAAGUUAAUACAGAUUUUAUCCAAAAAACCGUAUUUUUCAACCAUACAAAGACAUUGUAACUGGUCAAUCAAAUACACAACAAAACCUUCUAAUCUGGAGUUAGAUGUGCUACCAUUAUGCCAUGGACGACAAAAGAAAGAAUUUGAGACUCGGGUAAAAUGAGAGAAUGAACACAGUACCAUGGCUGCAAAUCAUAUCGAUGUUGUAAGACAAACUGCAAGAAGAGGAGCAAUUGUAUCUCGAAUCCUUUGUACGUACGGUCAAGAUUACUCGUCUAUAACAAAGACUACGAAAUUGGGUGGCCAAAGAUAACACAAAUCCCAUGUUGGGGGCACGAUCCCUGAGACAAGAACUUCUAUGGCUUUCGGCGUAACUCUAACUACAAUCCUGAUAUCCUCAUUCACUACACUAAUUGUCACACCAGGUUUUGCCUCCUCAUCCAUGUACUGCAAGCCUAGUAACCUAUUAAACAUUAAACAACAAACUUUUCUCUGCAAUAAUUGUUGAAUCAACAUUCCCAAUCAACAUACAUGCAAUCACAAUAAUAAUACCAAAAGGUCUACAAAUUCAAAAAUGAACUUUCAGCUUACCCAAAUAAAGAUAAUGAUAACUCACUGACAAUUUUUAAAACUGAAAAUUAACAAAAUACAAAAAAUGAAUUAGUGAGAAACAUAAAUUGUACCUUCGGCUCUAACUCAAGAAUUUUGAACUCGAUUUCUUCGUCCUUCGACCGUACAAAAUUCUGUUCCUACAUAUUUUCAAAUAGAUUAAAGAAAUUGCUCAUGCAAUCUAAAAAAUUACUUAUAUACCCAAAAGGGUUUUGACCACAUACCUUGGAGCACAAACUUUGAUAGCCUUAUUUGAGAAAAAAUAAAAAUUUCUAGGAAAGAGAUAUCCAGUUCCUGCAAAAAAUUGAGUUAAUAGAAUUGCAUGUGAAAAUCAAAAAUGCAUAUACACAAAGAAAUCAAUUUGAGAAAUAACUUUAGAAAACAUUAUUACAGUAAAGAGGAAAUUUUUUAGGCAUUUCAUCUAAAAAAUUAACCUAACCCAUUUAAGAAAUUUGAGAUUUGAGCAAAGUUUUAACCAACAAACCUAAUAAAUUUCAGCUAACCCAUGUAGAAAAUUUUGUUUCUUCUAUGGGUUUGAGAUCUUGCUUGAGAAAAAUGAUGAAAUGGUUCAACAGAGAGACGAUGAAGGUUAGCUUUAGCUUUAGAAGAGAGAGAGAUGCUGAAAGAGAAAAGAAAUUUUCUUUCUUUUUUAAUUGACUGAAAAGUAUAUGCAGACUAGAAGUUUCCUAUUCUUAAAUUUUUAAAAAAUAAAAUAAAUUAACUUUAGUGGCGACGUUGUUGCCACAACAUUAAUUCAGAGACGACAUUUUAUUAGUCGUCGCUAUAAAAAUUGGAGAGAAAAUUUUAUUAUUAGCAGGAACAGAAAUUUUUAUUAUAGUGACAACUAUUAGAGGCGAAAAAAAUUAUCCGACGUUAAAAUAUGAUGUAUUGCAGCGAUAAUAAAUGUCGCCACUAAAUGAUAUGUUUUUUGCAGCUACAAUUUGAGUCGCCACUAAUUGUCGCCACUAGAAAUCAGAUUUCUUGUAGUGACACUAGUGUGUUAAGUACAAAUCAACUGUCCAAAGAUGAAGAAAAAGGAAACCCAUGUGCUCUUAUGUUUUUUCGAACAAUACAAAAUGCUAGGAUGUUUCUGCUCUUAACGAUUCUGAUGAGGUUUCCAUUUCCAUCUCAUAUGAUGUCAGAACAUCAAGAAGAGACUUAUUGAAGGUUAGACAUUCAGUUCAGGUCAAUGUUAUCAAAAGCUAAAAGUGAUAAUCAAAAAACUCGAUGACGUUUGCUAUGGAAAAACGAAUCUAAUUUACAACGUCUCCUUCAUACAUACAGUACACAUAUCUCCUCUUUGGGGAGCGACAGAGAAAGCAUUAGCACAACAUGCUGUUUUGUUUUUCUCCGGCGAAGAUAAUCUCUAUUACUGCCUCGGAGAUCAAUGAUACCUUCAGGAAUCAGGGUUCACACACAUUCAGUAUUUGCUUUAGGAUAUGAGGCAGGGAUCAAUAAGAGCACAGUAGAUGGAAAUUUAGUUCCUCCUGGUGGUCUGAUUACCUUUGUACAAAAGGGAAUUCAAUAUCUUGAAUUGGAAGCAACUGCGAGCAAUGAUGACACAGAUAUGGACGAGGACUUCUAGUUUUUACAAACCAUUGAUCUUAUUACGAAGGAUAUGUAUGAGCUACAUAAAAUAAUAAAAGAAAAAAAAAGAAAAGCUUCGGAAAGAAAAACAUAAGGGAAAGUAUAUAUAAGGAUACCACGUGACGAUCUCAUGGAUGCGAAACCCAAGGGAGAUAAUUAAAGAGGUUGUUAGACACGAGUAGAAUGGAAAGGCUGGAGAUCCAGAGCCCAUGGAGAUUUGCACAAGCUCAACCUCCUUGUGAAAUACGGAGUUCUGAUUUAUUGAUUUUUGCAUGUGCUUGGAGUCCAGACGAUUCACUUAUUGCAUUCAUCUGGGUCUGUAGAUUCUACUGCCAGGAUUUGGACAAUCGGAGAUGGUCCUUGUAAUUCCCAUAUGUAAAAUGGGCCUGUAAAUGUCAUGGUAUUAAAGCAUUUUAAAGGUCAGACAAACGAGAAAAUCAAGGAUGUCAGUACUACACUUGAGUGGAAUGGUGAGGGAAACCUACUUGCAACAGGCUCUUAUGAUGGCCAAACAACAGGUUCUUAUGAUCACUUCAGGUUGCGACUGAUCAUUAUUGCUGAAGUUGGCUCAGAAGAUUCUGUAGAACUGUUGUACCUAGCCAAUAUGUUAUCCAUGCUAUAGCGAAAACAAAGCUUUCAAUCAAAAGGAUUCAAGCAUAUCUCUAUUUGACUUCCUCAGAAAAAAAUUGCACAAAAAUCUUGUUUUUUCCGGAAUAGUUCAAGUAAGAAAGCUAAAUUAUUUUAGUUUCUAUCUUCUCAUGAAAAUGCUUGAAACUAAAAAAAAAAAAAGGUAGGGAAAUUUAAGGCGCUAGUUGUUCACAUGUUUGGUGUGCUCAUCAUAUUUUCUUGAUGAAUUACUUUUCAUGAUAUUGUCUUUGGUAAUUCUUUUUGGUUAUAUUUCUUUCAUGAUUUGUCCAUUUUUAAAGAUGAUAUUACUCAUAUAUAGUAUUUAAUAAAAUUUUCAAAAUCAUUUUGACCUUAGAUAGGAAUGUAUGAAUCUUGUAGUAUCUUUAGGCCAAACCUUUGUAUUUGUAUUAAGUUCACUAACUAUAUACAAAAAUUAAAUUUUAACAAAAAUACGAGAUUUAGGAAACAAAAUUGCAACCUAGUAAUAACUCUUAUUAUUAUUAUAUCGCGUCAUGCCGUUAAUUUUUCCUAUUUUGACAAUAUUUUCUUUUGUAAAUUAAUGAUCGAAUCUUGUUCCAUUCUAACAAACAUUGUGAUGAAAGUAGAUAUAGUAAUGAGACAUGAUUAUUGUCAACAAGAAUUAGAUCUACUAAUUUAUUCUCUUUUAAAAAUCAAUAAAGAUUUAAGCUUCUUUCUGAAUAGACCUGCCACUUUUGCAAACUUCUGUCCUUCACUAUGUGUACAAUUAGAUUUAAUGUUUUGGUACAUGGCUAAAACAUUCGAGCAAUAACAGCAUUUUCUCUAAUGAUAUUGGGGGCGGUUUUCACGCCCGCUCCAUACAUUACUGGUGGUUUCGAAAAGCAUCGCAAUUAUGUUUGCCACAAAGAUAUUGUGACGUUUUUGCAAAAGUCACUAUAACUGUAAUCAGUAUAAAUGACAGUUUAUAGUUCUAUAGUAAAACGGUUACCACCACCGCAAUUUUAGAUAUUAACAUUGCCUUAAAUGACAGGUUUAAACCAUCAUAAUAUUCGAUGAGGACUUGCAUGAUCUACGUUGGUAGAUCCAUGUGGUGAUCUUCUUGGCAAUUAGCUGAAUGAGCACUGCCUCUCUUAUAUCUUGUUUCUAAAAAAUAAAUUGACACGGCAAAAAAUAAGUGUCAUUCCACAUUCUUUGUGGAGAAGAUUUAGUUGUUGGUCCACUUUGAAAACUUAUUUUAACAAACUUUGAAAACUCAUUUGCGGCGGGUGAAGUCGUUGGAGUUCAAAUAAAUUGAUUUUUUUUCAAAAUGCGGCUUGAUUUCAGUGAAAGUGGUUGUUUUUAGUUGGUAUUUACUUAUUUUUUACGGAUAAUUGGUGUGUAUCGAUUAUCCUUUGCGAUUGAAUGUUGAAAUUUCUUCACUAAUUUCGUCAGAAUAUGGCAAGAUACGUAAUUUUUGAUAAAAGUUUUUUCCAAUGUAAGGGUGUUGUAGAAGCAUGUUCAUGUUGGGAUUUCUUCACUGCAUAUUUGAUAGUUAGACUCGAAAAGUUGAAUUUUUUUUUAAAAAAAUGAGGCUUGAUUUUACUUAUAAUUUGUGUUUUUAAGUUGGUAUUCGGUUUGUUUGUGCAUUGUUUGUGUUGAAUUUUAACUUUCCUCGACGAUUGCAUUUAGAUUUUUUGCCACUUUUUAUCGAUUUGCGUGAUAAAAAUGUCCUUUAGAUUGAAUUUUUUUGGCAACUGCUUCAUUGAGUUGGUGCUGCAACUGCUGCCAUGUUAAUAGACUGCUAGUGAUAAUGAGGCCCUAAUUCUUUACAUCUAUUCAACAAGAAGAAAAUUAACCACAACAAAGUAGUUAUGAAAAGGAAAAUGAAAAUGAAGAAAACAUAAGAACUAAUAAGGAAACCAGUAGAGCUUACAGAAAAGGAAUAGUGUAAUACCCCGGGAAAUUUUUCGUUGAAAUUUUGUGCAUAAUCGUGUUGGGUUCUAUCUUCUAGAAUGAAUUAUAAAUUUUCUAUGCGUAAUGUCUUACAUUAUGACCCACCAUUGUAGAGUAUCAAAUAAGCUUUCCAAUGAUAUAUGGAUCAUCCAAAACGGACAUCCGAGCGACGAGUUAUGAACAUUCCGAUUGAACCAUGAAUAGUAGUGAACAGUAAGAAGAUGCUCCAACCCCGUUAAGUUUUAGCUGGCUAUCACUGUCCAAUAAAGAUUUCCAAUUCCAUUUUGGAAUAUUUUCAUCCGGGAUUGGAACGACCUAUGUUGUAAGGGAGGAGAGAAGGUGAACCAGCUUUCUUUGGUUGCCUCUCCCGUCUGGUCGAGUAUGCAGGAAAAAAUACUGAGGCCUGGCGUAUUUUUGCUCUAAAUUUAAAUGAUCAUAAAUUCUUGUACAUAAUGAUCUGCGUGAUCUACUAUAUAUCAACGGAAAGCUCUGCGAGUCCUCUUUCCAAUGAAAUUGGUUUCAUCCAAUGUGUCUAUCAGAUCAAAAAGUUAUGGUCGAUCUACUUCAGCCUACCAAAAGCGAAUUUUUGGAUCAACUUUAAACGAUCAUAACUCCUCGUACACAAUGAUCUGGGUGAGAUGCUAUAUAUCAACGGAAAGAUAUGAAGUCCUCUUUCUAAUGAAAUUAGUUUCAUCCAAUUUGAAUAGUGGAGUAAAACGUUAUGGUUGAUCUACUUCAGAGUAUCAAAAUAGUCCACCAAAGGACAGAUUCGAGAAUUAUUUGAUUUUUAGGAGCAUUUUGGUCAUUCCCCCUAAAAUCCGUCCAAACCCUAUAUUAAAGCCUAUUAGAAGCAUUAUAUGUUAUAUUACAUCAAAUUCCCUCAAAAAGAAAACCCUAAGCUCCUACAUCCAACUUCAAGCCCCUCCAAAGUUCACCAUUAAUUCUGCAAAUUUAUUCAAGAUUCUAAGUUCCUAGUUCAAGAACUCCAAGAACCACCAUUAAAAGGCACGAUUAACAUCUCAAAAAUGAGUAUAAAUCUAAAGUUCAUCAUUCAAGGUAUGUGGGGUUUUUCAACAAGAACUCUCUUUCGUUCUUGUGCCCAAAAGUAAUUUUCUUUACAAAGGCAUGAUUUUUAUUUGAUUUUUACGAAUUUGAAGCAUGAACCCAUAUCUUAUGAUGAUUAUUAUGAAAUCUUGAUGUUUAUGAUUUUGAAAAAUGAAUUUACAUGUGUGAUGAUAUAAAGCAUAAAUCUUGAAUGAUAUUUAUCAUGAUUUUGAUAUUUGGGUCAUGAAUCCCCAUUNNNNNNNNNNNNNNNNNNNNNNNNNNNNNNNNNNNNNNNNNNNNNNNNNNNNNNNNNNNNNNNNNNNNNNNNNNNNNNNNNNNNNNNNNNNNNNNNNNNNNNNNNNNNNNNNNNNNNNNNNNNNNNNNNNNNNNNNNNNNNNNNNNNNNNNNNNNNNNNNNNNNNNNNNNNNNNNNNNNNNNNNNNNNNNNNNNNNNNNNNNNNNNNNNNNNNNNNNNNNNNNNNNNNNNNNNNNNNNNNNNNNNNNNNNNNNNNNNNNNNNNNNNNNNNNNNNNNNNNNNNNNNNNNNNNNNNNNNNNNNNNNNNNNNNNNNNNNNNNNNNNNNNNNNNNNNNNNNNNNNNNNNNNNNNNNNNNNNNNNNNNNNNNNNNNNNNNNNNNNNNNNNNNNNNNNNNNNNNNNNNNNNNNNNNNNNNNNNNNNNNNNNNNNNNNNNNNNNNNNNNNNNNNNNNNNNNNNNNNNNNNNNNNNNNNNNNNNNNNNNNNNNNNNNNNNNNNNNNNNNNNNNNNNNNNNNNNNNNNNNNNNNNNNNNNNNNNNNNNNNNNNNNNNNNNNNNNNNNNNNNNNNNNNNNNNNNNNNAAUGGUGAAGUGAUUUGAAAGUGGAAUUGUGAAAGUUAUUCUUUCGAAUGAUUUAAAUGAUAUUUACAUUAUGAGAAUUGAUAUUCUUGAUGAACUGAAAGUGAUUGACAAAUUAUAUGAUGACUCACAUGUGUUAUUGUACUUAUUUCUUCGUCUCGUGAUUAUGAUGAUUUUGUUCGGGCUAUGUGAGUCUUUCAUACAUCCUGCAUAUUUCUUAUAAAUAUUUAUGAUGAUGAUGUUUAUACAAAUGCAUACACCCCCAUAUACUUGGUUCCUUUCCAUGGUACUGACCCAUAUCUUCGGAUGUGGGCUAUAUUUUCUGGGAAUGUAGGUUUAGGUGCUCAGUUCCAGGCUCGACUUUGAUUCUGCGGGCAUGAUGUUCUACAUCCUCUGUCGUGGUGAGUCAUCAUGUUCUGAGGACGUGAUGUCUGAUGUUGGUUUCACGGAAUUUUUUACAUUUGAUAACUGAGUAUGAGUCAGUUGGGGCAUGUCUCAAUGGCUCCCUGGUUUUAUUUAUUUUCUUAGAGGCUUGUCAGACCAGAAUAGAUGUUGGGAGUUGACUAAUUAGUCGUAUUUUGUUAUCUUUUUGAAAUUAUUUUAUUCUUGGAUGAUGAUUACUCUAUUGAUAUUUGAGGGUUAUUUAUGGAAGCCCCGUUGAUUCGUGUUGAACUGAAUGAAAAUGACUCAAAGGGUUAGCUUGGGGUUACUCGUAGCCUCAUGUACCGUGUGACGCUCCGGAACCUAUUUUCGGGGAGUUACAAAUAGUAACAACAACAAAUUAUGUAACAACCAAAACACAAUAAUAUUAAUGUCAAAUCGUCAAGUAAUUGCAACAAACAAACGGGACAAAAAGUUUGCAGUUCUUCAAAUUUUGAGAUCUUUCUUGGAAUCCAAAGUUUGUUACUAGUAAAAUGAUACAUCUCAAACCUUAAAUAAAUCCUUCUUUUUUGAAUUUCUAGAAUUUUCAUGAGAAGACAAAAUCUAAAAUAAUUUAGCUUUCCUACUAGAACUACUCAAAGCAAAAUAGGACUUUUGAGCAACUUUUUGCUGAAGAAGUUAGAGGGAGAUAUGCUUGAACGCUUUGGACUUUUGUGUUAGGGCUCCGCCUGUUAAGUAGGUGUGCUUUGGGGGGGGGGGAGGGAGCUAACAGGAGGAGUUUUAAAAAACACAGGUAAAUGUCCACCUGGAACAGUUCAAGUUAAAAAAAGGUGUCAAAGGAGAAAAUAAUUACUUCAUAUAAUGAGCAUCAACGGAAAUGAUUGAACCAUCAAGGUUGAUUCUUAUCUAGCAAAUGGAUAGUGGUCUAGAGAAAAUAGUAAUGUUUACCCCUAGUCUCAUUGAAUUCACAAAAUAUACCUCCACUAGUGUCCAACCAAGAAGGCGAUCGAUCCAAUCUAGCAAAACUAGGUUGGUCAAGCCACGUUGGAUCCAUAACAACCCUCAAACCUAGUUUUGCUCGAUUGAGUCGAUCAUCUUCUUGGUUAGACAAUAGUGAAGGUAUACUUAGUGACUUCAAGGAGACUAGGAGUCAAUAUUACAGCAGUUUUUGCCAUUGUAGUUGUGGGAACCUUAAAGUUAUGAUGAAUGACAAUAUGAAUGAAACAGUUGAAUUUGAUUCAAACACUUGAUGAUAAGGGAAAGGAAGUUGAGUUGAAAAAGGAGUCCUAUGUGAAGAAGAAGUUUCACUUCUAAGCAUAUCUUUAAGAGUCCAAUGUGUGGAAGGAGAAAGAUUUUGAAAAUUGAAGAAUUCAAAAGAGUUGGUCUUUUACUACAACACUAAGUAGACAAGAGCUGGAAUUGAAGAAAGAGUCUCACUUGAAGUAGAACUCUAUGCAAUGGGAGUUCUAAUUAAAGUUGGAGUUUGAAAUAAAGAAUGACUCUUUGGAGAGUUGUGCUUAAAUAGAAGAUGGUAAUUCACACACUUACAAAGCAGAAAAGCACAAUCGGUAUAUUGACUUCACGAAGUGCUACUCAAUCACUGAAGAAACACAUUGAAGAACCUGGUCCUAAGUAUAGAAUCCAGCUAAGAAUUUUAUUUUUGAUUUUUAGAUUUGUUCAUUGUGUUUUGAGCUAUUGAUGUAAUAUUAGUUUCAAUGUGUUAUAAACUGAAUUAGGAGAUAGUCUUCGAGUUGGGGAAAGCGGUAUCAGAGCGGGUUAUCUUGUGAAGGUUAACACCUUAAGAUAAGAUCCAAGAUGAAUUCUACACCACCUACUGGAUACUACGAAGGACAAGACAUCAAUAGGCCUCCGUUGUUCAAGGGACAAUACUACUUAGGAUGGAAAGAAAGGAUGAAAGAUUUCCUUCAGGCUGUGGACUAUGAACUAUGGAAUAUAAUUAUAGAUGGACCUCAAUACCACCUGAAGAAGACUGUUGAAAAGAAGGAAGUAUUAAAGGACAAGAAUGAGUAUGAUGAGGGUGACUUUAAGAUGCUUGGAAAGAAUGCUAAAGCGAAGUAUAUACUUACUUGUGGACUUGAAAUAGAUGAAUACAAUAGGAUCUCAGGUUGUACCUCCAAAAGAAAAACUUGGGAUACUCUUGUGGAUAGAUAUGAGAUGAAUAUGGAGAACUUCAAAAAUAACAAGGGAACGAAGGAUAAGUCACCAGCAUUAAAGGCGUCUGACAAAGAAGAAUCAGAUAUGGAUGAUAAAAAGCUUGUCAAGAACUUUAUAAGAAAUUAAGAAAGACAAGCGCAUAACAAGAAAGGAAAAAGUAGAAGGUGUUGUUCCAGUGAUAAUUCUCAAGGUGGUUGCUUCAAGUGUGAGAAGAUAGAUCACAUGAUCAAUGAUUGUCCUGUCUGGGAAAUAGAAUCGAGAAAGGAAAUGUCUGAAAAGGAAUUGAAAGAAACAACCAAAAAGAGGGAAGAAUAUGCAAUGGUAGCAUCUUGGGGAUUUGACUAAGAUGAUGAUGAAGUUGAUGAAGCAGAACUCAUGGCUCUUGGAGAUUCAGAAUUGGAGGAAGAAGAUGAUAUUUCUGAGGUAAGUAUACUUGAACUAAAAGAAAAGCUGUGUUUGUCUUCUAAAACAAAACUAAUUUCAUUGAUGAGUGCACUAAUUGAUGACUUCCAAGAAUCAACUUCUGAUAGGGAUGAGCUGUUCAACAGUCUUGCAAGUAUCAAAUUUGAUUUUAUUGAUUUAGAAGCUUGCAAGAACAUUAUCGAAUAGGAAAACUGCACCCUCAAAAAAUAGGUUGAGCAACUUGAUUCUUCAAAUAAUGAUCUUAAGUCUGAAGUUCUAAAAUUGACACUCUUUGAAAAGGGAAAAAAGGUCAUGAGUAAAGAUCAAGAAAAUGCUGAACUUGAGCUCGUUAGAAACAAACAAGAAAGUCAUGAUCUAACUGACAAAUGAAUAAGUUGAGUCAAGAAGUUUCAAACGUAAAACUUGAUCUUGAAAGGGCAAAUAGGUGGACAAACUCCUCAAGAAUUUUUCACAAUUUAGGGGAAAGAAAUUACAGUGAAAAGGAAGGAUUAAUAUUCCACAAAAAUUUUGAUCUUCCUAAAGAUUUAUGUUAUAUUUGUGGUAACCUUGGACAUCCAGCCACUGAAUGUUCAGUUGCUACCGAAAGCAGAUAUAGCAGUCUAAAUCAAGAAAAUAAACUAUCUCAGACCAAGAAAAGGAUAAGUAAACUUGGUCAGAGAAACAGGUCGCAUAACCUAUUGCCUACAUGGGCUAGAAGAAAUCUAAUUCAUCUAUUUACUCAUAAGAAAGGACCUAAGCUUGUCUGGGUGCCUAAAUUUAACCCCUAAUUUAUUUUGCAGGUGAGAAUGAAAGGAGACAAGUAAAAUUUGUACAUGGAUAAAUCUUUCUCAAGGCAUAAGACUAGAAUAAAAUAAAGUUUCUUUCACUCACCACAUUUAAAGUGAGAAUGGAUCAUUUGAAAGAUGGCCAGAUUUGUAGUGCUCGUUUAAGGGAGAAGAAAGAGAGGUUUAAAAAAUGAAAAAAAAGGAUGACAAUGAAAAUGAUGAGCAUGCACAGGAACAUAUUGUACUACCUGGUCCAACUGUUGUACAGACUAAGGGAAUAUUGACAGGGGGAACAACAAAUAAAGAAAUGGAUGCAUCAAUAAAACCAACACAAGUUGCUGGUAAUUUUUUUCGUAGUUUAUAAGAAUUGGUGUUGUCAAAAGGAUCUUGAGAUAUACCAUGGAAAUUAAUGUCUUGAGACUAUGGUAUCCAAAGGAAAGUAAUUUCACUCUUGAGGGCUAUAAAUAAGUUAACUAUGUAAGCACCAAAGGUACUAAGUAGAGAGUAUUUUGAAAGGAAUAGGUUAGACUUGGGGAUGAUUAAAUUUUAUGAACUUCCCUCAAUGAUUGACUAGAAUAAUCAUUUUUUUCUUAAUCUUAUUAGCUAAGAAGUUAUUCUAUUUAGUCUUUCACAUUUAGUUGUGUGUCCCAAUUCCAGAUUUUUAACUUUUCUAACUUAAUUUUUUAUUAGAUUGUGCAAAAAAUUAGGUACAAGAAAGAAAUUGUGAUCACAAAGUUCUUCUUAGCAGGUAUGUUCUUCACUGACAUAAGUAUAGGCUUUCUAAGUUGAAACAGUUGAGCACACCUGUUCAAUUCCUCUCACUUCAUUCUCCCCUUGUCUUAUAAAGCUGACGAAUUGACCAAACUUUCUUUGAUUCUCUCCAAAUGGUUGUGCAUAAAUAUGUUAAUCCUACACCAUAAAUUCCUUCUUCUCUCUCAACCAAAAUAUCAGUUUUUAGAUCUUGUAUUUGCCAGAGUUGAUCAUCAAUUACAUGCAACAUAUGUUUCCGAAGAAUGAAAAGGGAUAUGUUCUCCCUUUUAGUUCCUAAUUGGCUAUUUUUGGGGACUUCUCAGUCCUAGUUCAGGUUUAAUUGGAUGUUCUUGAACAAAUGAAUCAUGUUUCUCUACCUGUUUCAAUAAGGAGGGAUAAUACUCAUUUAAAAAAGGAGAGGAUUUAGCUAACAAAAAUCUGAAGUAGAACCUGCAUAAAAUAGUCAUGAAGUAUAAUAAGAGGUUUGUAAAGCGAGGAUCAUGACUGAAUCUUGACCUUGAUUGAUGGAGGGAUGAAAAUAUUGAAGACAUUCGCCAAUUGACACAGUUAAUAUCACCUCUUCACUAAUUGUAUCCUUAGCCAUCUCCCAUUUUUAUACCGUAUUCUUUUUUGAUUAAUGAUAAGUUGUUUUUCCCUAUUUAGUACUAGCUUAGGUUUAAUGAGGAACAUUCUCUGACAGUUAAAUGGAAUGGUUAUCUUUGCUAAAUUGACUCAUAUUUUUGCUCUCUUUAAUACAUUACUAUGUUGGCUAAAGUUUUUUUCUGAUUGUUUUGGUGAUUGCCCAGUGGCCAUGAAGAGGAUAACAAAUCACUUUGGCUAGAAUAUUAUUGCAUUGAAAUAGUUUUUGAUGAUGCCAAAAUGGGAAAGAUGCAAUGUUUAUAACCCAUUGACUAACUUUUUACAUUCUAGUAUUUUAAACUUUAGUGCCAAUAGGUGAAGAUGUUUGAAUGCACAAAGACAAAAGGUUUGUCAUCACCAAAAUGGGGGAAUUUGUUGGAACCUUGAAUUUUUGAUGAAUGACAAUAUGAAUUAAACAAGUUGAAUUUGAUUCAAACACUUUAUGUUAAGGGAAAGCAAGUUGAGUUGAAAAAGGAGUCUUAUGUAAAGAAGGAGUUUCACUUCUAAUCAUAUCCUUAAGAGUCUAAUGUGUGGAAGGAGAAAUAUUAUGAAAAUUGAAUAAUUCAAAAGAGUUGGAGUUUUACUACAACACUAAGGAGACAGGAAUUGGAAUUGAAGACGGAGUCUCACUUUAAGUAGAACUCUAUGCAAUAAGAGUUCUAAUUAAAGUUUGAGUUUGAAAUAAAGAAUGACUUUUUAGAGAGUUGUGCUUAAAUAGAAGAUGCAGCAGCCAGAAUAAUUCACGCACUUUCAAAGCAAAAAAGCACAAUCAACAGAUUGACUUCACGAAGUGCUACUCAACCACUGAAGAAACACAUUGAAGAACCUGGUCCUAAGUAUAGAAUCCAUCUAAUAGUUUUAGCUUUGAUUUUCAGAGUUGUUCAUUGUGUUUGUGCUAUUGGUGUAAUAUUAGUUUUAGUGUGUUAUAAACUGAAUUAGGAGAUAGUCUUCAAGUUGGGGAAAACUCAGAUACUUUGGGAACGCAAACCUUGGGAGGUGUGUGUGUAAUUUGGAAUUAGAGUUUAUGAUUCGUAGUUAUUGAGUUAUAUAGGGAUUAGAGUUUAUAAUGCCUAGUUGUUGAGUUAUAGGAAUUAGAGUUUAUAAUUCCUAUUUGUUGGUUACAAGAGUUUUGUAAUCAGUCGUUGUUGAGGCUCAGAGUUUCUUAGUGAAGUUGGGGUUAAAUCCUGUAGAGGUGUAGGUCGUGGUUUUUUACACCUUUUGAGCCGGGUGUUUUCCAUGUAAAAAUCAUUGUGUUCUUUAAUUUCUGUUUACUGCUUCCUUGCGACACAUUAGUGGAACACGUCAGGCAGCACAUUCCAUCGAUAAGAAAAAGUUAGGCGAAAAUAAAAAAAUCAGUAAGGCACAAAUUCAUAACAAGUGGUAUCAGCGCGGGUUAUCUUGUGAAGGUUAACACCUUAAGAUAAGAUACAAGAUGAAUUCUACACCACCUACUGGAUACUAUGAAGGACAAGAUAUCAAUAGGCCUCCGUUGUUCAAGGGACAAUACUACUUAGGAUGGAAAGAAAAGAUGAAAGAUUUCCUUCAGGCUGUGGACUACGAACUAUGGAAUAUAAUUAUUGAUGGACCUCAAUACCCAAUGAAGAAGGAUGUUGAAAAGAAGGAAGUAUUAAAGGACAAGAAUGAGUAUGAUGAGGCUGACUUUAAGAUGCUUGGAAAGAAUGCUAAAGCGAAGUAUAUACUUACUUGUGGACUUGGAAUAGAUGAAUACAAUAGGAUCUCAGGUUGUACCUCCUCAAAAAAAAUUUGGGAUACUCUCAUAGAUAGAUAUGAGAAGAAUAUAGAGAACUUCAAAAAGAACAAGGGAACAAAGGAUAAGUCACCUGCAUUAAAGGCGUAUGACAAAGAAGACUAAGAUAUGGAUGAAAAAGAGCUUCUCAAGAACUUUUUAAAAAAAAAUUAAGAAAGACAAGCGUCAGAACAAGAAAGGAAAAAGUAGAAGGUGUUGUUCCAAUGAUAAGUCUCAAGGGGGUUGCUUCAAGUGUGAGAAGAUAGAUCACAUGAUCAAAGAUUGUCCAGUCUGGAAAAUAGAAUCGAGAAAGGAAAUGUCUGAAAAGGAAUUGAAAGAAAAACCCAAAAAAGGGAAUAAUAUGAAAUGGUAGAAUCUUGGGGAUUUGACUCAGAUGAUGAUGAAGUUGAUGAAGCAGCACUCAUGGCUCUUGGAGAUUAAGAAUUGGAGGAAGAGGAUGAUUUUUCUGAGGUAAGUAUACUUGAACUUAAAGAAAACUUGGAUUUGUUUUCUAAAACAAUACUUAUUUCAUUGAUGAGUGCACUAAUUGAUGACUUCCAAGAAUCAACUUCUGAUAGGGUUGAGCUGUUCAACAGUCUUGCCAACAUCAAAUAUGAUUUAAUUGAUUUAGAAGCUUGCAAGAACAUUGUCAAACAGGAAAACUGCACUCUCAAGAAAUACGUUGAGCAACUUGAUUCUUCCCCAGUGGCCAUGAACAGCAUAACAAAUCAUUUUGGAUAGUAUAUUAUUGCAUUGAAAUAGUUUUUGAUGAUGCCAAAAGGGGAAGAUGCAAUGUUUAUAACCCAUUGAUUAACUUGUUUCAUUCUAGUGUUUUCAACUAUAGUGCCAACAGGUGAAAAUGUUUGAAUGCACAAAGCCAAAAGGUUUGUCAUCAUCAAAAAGGGAGAAUUCGUUGGAACCUUGAAGUUUUGAUGAAUGACAAUAUGAAUGAAACAAGUUGAAUCAGAUUCAAGCACUUGAUGAUAAGGGAAAGCAAGUUGAGUUGAAAAAGGAUUCCUAUGUAAAGAAGGAGUUUCACUUCUAAGCAUAUCCUUAAGAGUCCAAUGUGUGGAAGGAGAAAGAUUCUGAAAAUUGAAUAAUUCAAAAGAGUUGGAGUUUCACUACAACACUAAGGAGACAAGAGUUGGAAUUGAAGAAGGAGUCUCACUUGAAUUAGAACUCUAUGCAAUGAGAGUUCUAAUUAAAGUUGAAGUGUGAAAUAAAGAAUGACUUUUUAGAGAGUUGUGCUUAAAUAGAAGAUGCAACAGCCAGAAUAAUUCACGCACUUUCAAAGCAUAAAAGCACAAUCAACAGAUUGACUUCACGAAGUGCUACUCAACCACUGAAGAAACACAUUGAAGAACCUGGUCCUAAGUAUAGAAUCCAUCUAAUAGUUUUAGCUUUGAUUUUCAGAGUUGUUCAUUGUGUUUGUGCUAUUGGUGUAAUAUUAGUUUUAGUGUGUUAUAAACUGAAUUAGGAGAUAGUCUUCAAGUUGGGGAAAACUCAGAUACUUUGGGAACGCAAACCUUGGGAGGUGUGUGUAGUUAGGAAUUCGAGUUUAUAAUUCCUAGUUAUUGAGUUGUAGGGAUUAGAGUUUAUAAUUUCUAGUUGUUGACUUAUAGGAAUUAGAGUUUAUAAUUCCUAUUUGUUGGUUACAAGAGUUUUAUAAUUAGUCGUUGUUGAGGCUCAGAGUUUUUUAUUGAAGUUGGGGUUAAAUCUUGUAGAGGUGGAUUUUGUACACCUUUUGAGCCGGAUGUAUUCCACGUAAAAAUUAUUGUGUUCUUUACUUUCUAUUUACUGCUUCCUUGAAAUGCGUCACUGGAACACGUCAGGCAACAAGUUCCAUCGAUAAACAAAAGUUAGGCAAAAAUAAGAAAAUCAGUAGGGCACGAAUUCUUAACAGUAGUUGUGCAAGAUCUUGCAAAUAGUGGAGUCCUUUCCUAAACUCUGCGCAUAGUGGAAGUUAUAGUUCAUCGUGUUGCCCUUCCCUAUUAUGUAAUUUACUAUAUUAUAUAUUUGUGGUAGACAGGUGAGCAGUUUUUGUAAUUUGUAUUAAGUGCUCUUUAAACUUGUUGAUAAUUUUCAUGUAGAUAUGUUAGUAGAGCAUCUGAACACGUGAUAAAAGUAUUUUGGUAGGUGCUUUUGUCUUCUGUUUUGAGACAAUAUGUGAUCUUCUUCUCAAUUAUCAAUUAUGUAGAAUGUCACUUCUUUUGAUGGUAUCAAGCUUGAGUUUCACAACUUUUAAAGUCAAUAUUUCAGUGAAAGGAGGUGAUACAAGUGCUGUGUUCAAAAGUGUCAUGUUUAACUGGGGUGAUAAUUUCAGUCAAAAGCUAAUAGUUUGCAAAUCAAUGGGGUGAUAAUUCAGAUGACAAAGACAAACAUACUAAAGAACAUAUAAUGAUAUGAUUAGCCAAUUGGCUACAUAUUAAUAACCAAUUCAAAAAAUACUACUCUUAUGAUGUUGUUUGUUCAACCACUACCCAUCUACCCAUACCUUAAUUCAUCAUCCCUGAUUUGUAUAAGCUCUAAUAUGAUUAUGUGACUUGUUUAAACUCAGUCAUAUGUGUAGAAUUCCACACUAUAUUUUUUUUAUUUAUUCAUUUUUAAACAACAUGCUACUACGGGUUUAUAAUCAUGUACAUACCUUUACGAUAUCUACCAAUGAUUCAGAGAUCAAUCGAUGCACUACCUACAGUGUAAGUCUACGGUAGACCAAUUGAAUCGAUGGACUCUCAAAGCGUAAGUUUAUUUUUUACUUAAUUAUUUUCUUUUUAAAUAUGUUAUUGAGGGUCCAUUGAUUAGGAUUGUCUAUGGUAGACUUUAAUAUCUCGUUGAUGAUUAACAUAGGUAAUCAUCGAUGAUAGUCUAUUAAGUAUCACGAACAGUUCAAAAAAUACAAUUACUGUUCCAACGGUAACAAAUGGCUAAUUUUGUAUUCUUUCAAUAUUAACACUUCUUUUUAAUUAAUAUAUAAAGUCGUCCAUCCCUCAUUAUUUUAUUUCAUCUACUUUGUUUUUAUUAUAAAAUUCUACAACGUCUCAAGCAUCUCAAACAUCCAGUUCUAUAAAGACUCUAAUUUAUCAUUGUAAAAAUGCGGCUGUGAUACAAGUCAAAUGGCCAUAUGAAUUUUUGAAGACAUGAUUAGAGGUGAUCAUUUAAAGGCUCAAGACUUGGUCACCCUGAGGGCACAAGAAUAUGCAAGGAAGACCCGUUUUGAGCACAAAAAAGGCCGUGUGUCGAAGACUGCUUGGAGCAUCAAAGACAUGAGGACUCACAGUUUUGGACAAAACUUAAUGGGUCAUGAUUUGGUCAUCUUCAUUAAGGAUAUUUUGGUCACUUCAUUGGGUCCAAAUGCACUCCAUGGCCACCCCACCCUUUAAGGGCAUUGUUGUCAUUUUGUCUUGUCUUGUAAUAGAAUAUAAAUAGAACAUUUAAGGUAUUUAACUGUUUAGUUGUUCAUUGAUGUAAGACUUGAAACAUGAAACAACUUUAGUUGUAGGGCUUAGAAUAGCCACCACACCAAAAUAAGGGCAACAGGUGUGGAUAUCACUUGUGUUGCAAUGUUGGCUUGAGACGUUGGUCUUUAGAGGAGGUAAAGUUUCUGUUGUGUCAAUGUAGGAGCUAGGUUAACCGUUGUGUAUAGUGUUAAGGGUCCAAUAUUACCAUAUUCUUGGAUUCUUAAGAUUAUACCAACCAAGGUCUAACUAUCUAUCCAUUUUGUUUAUGUUGUAAUCGUUGUUUGUGUUCUUGUAAUUCAAGUUCGUGACUUGUCGUUCUUGUUCCAUUUUUGUUGUUAACAUAGUUUUUUGUUAUCUGUUUUUAGGUGAUAAACACAUCAAUUCAUUGUGUUCUUGUUGUUGUUUGUUGAAUCCGAGUGUGGUCUUCAAAAGGGUCCUCGGAUCUUUGAUCUUAUGGAUUAAUUUUGAAGUGUGUUUUAUGUUGUCUUUGUAAUACUUGUAUCAUUUGGUAUCAGAGUCAUCUUUGAUUUUGUUCUAACAAGAUCAAUCUUGGGCUUGAGAGUUGAAAAAUAAAAGAAUAUAAAAAAAAGAGUUGAAAAACUAGAAAAAAAAAUCCAGAAAAGGAUUAAUCUGCCCGUUCCUGUUGUUCUUGGCUGAGAAAGUUGUUGUUCUUGUUGCUGUCUUGGCUGAGACAUGUUUCUUUGUGACUAGAUCUUGUAGUCUUUUGUUGUUUAGAGUGUUUAUAGUGUUGGUUUCUUUCUUACCAACACUUAAAAGUGUCCAAAUCUAAGCUUGAACUUGAACUUGUUGAUGUUGUUAAUGUGAACAAAGUGUGGCUGAUUUGAUGUUGUUGUCAUUCUAAGCCUUGACCGUGUUGAAGGCCUUGUUGUUGUGGAGUUGGGCGUUGGAAUUUGUUGUUGUUCUUGGAGAAUAUUAUUGUUGUUCUUGGUGUUGUUAUUGUGUUCUUGUUGUUCUUCACCCUUUUCAUCUUUUGAUAAAACAAAAAGUGAACAUUAGAUCCACAAAAGGUGAAAGACCAAGUUGUAGUACCUGUUGGUGAAAGACUUGAUCACAUCACUCAAAAGACUUGACAACCACUUUUCGCUACUUUCCUUGAUUUAACGACCUUGUUUCAAGGAGAAAGUACCAAGAAGGUCAAGUCUUGUUUUGAACUUGAAAAUGAAGCUUCAAGACCAAACUUCCCUCUAUUAACCAAAUCCACCAUUUCCAAAUUGUAGAUUGGUCAAGACUUGAAAUUGCAGCGUAAAAGUUUGACAAAACCGAGGCCAGUAGUGGACUGCCACAUCACAAAAUUACUAUUCAUGCAACAUUUUGAGUUCAACUUUUAGAUUUCUUAGUUUUAUUUUAUUGUUUCUUAGUUUCGUUUGUUGGUUCGAACAGUAAUUGUCGACCUAGUAAUCUCCUACUAGCUUUUUAGUUAGUUUUUGUGCCCGUUUCUUUGUGUUAGCAUUAUUUUGUACUUUUCUUGUUUUUGAAUCGUAGAAUUUUUUGGUUCAAGUUCGGAAAUUAUUUCCUUGAGUCUUCGAAAAAUGAAUCCAUUCCGACCAAGGAGUAGACUCACCCCUCGACUCAUCACGAACUAUAAGCCAACUUGCAACACUUCUGAAUCCAAGUGUGAAAUGAUCAUGUGUGUGAGAGUGUGGUGAGGUUGUUUUGAACUAACUUAUGUUUUAUUUUGUAGACUUGUUCUUUUUUUUUUAGGUGCAAUUAUGAUGGAACCCGUGGCUGCAAGUGCUAUUUUUGCUAAACUUGAAGCCAUUACCCAUCAAUGGAAAGUGAUAAAUGAAAGUUUGGAUCAUAUGGGAGUUCCAAGGGAGCAAGUGGGCUAUCCGAACACACGUCAAGAUGAAGACCUUAGCUCAUGUGAGCUAAGAGGUAAAAAUGUUAUCCCCUACACUCAUAUGAACGUAGUUGCAGUUUUACCUAGCAUAGGAGUGCAUGAGUCUUCAUUUUGAGAUACUUUUGAUAUUGUUAGGUCACAUGAGGACCAAACUCUUGUUGUAGGUUCACAAGCACUAAUUGAUCCUUUAGAUGACAAAAUUGAUUCUCCUCGUGAGAAUGAUUUAUGUCCAUCUACCACUUAGAACUUGACUAAGGUUCCAUUACCAAGUGACGAGAGUAUUCACACACUAGUUGACCCUUGUGAAAAAUAAGGUGUGUCUACGUUGGUAUGUGAAUUUCCAACAACUAGUGAGGGUGAGAAAAAUGAUCAACCGGGCGUAGAUGAUUUUGAUUUGCUUGAAUAUUUAGAAAAGCCGAGUUGUGAUUGUCUUUGUGGGGAUGGUUUUGAUUGUGUUCCUUUGUCUUCCCGUGAUGGUUUGUACGUAUGUAAGGACAAAUCUUGAGAAAGAGAAGGUGAUAUGUGCUUAGAAAUGCCAUCUACUUCAUCUUUAUGUCUUUCUUAUGUUGGGAAUAUUCCUAGUGGAAACUUAAAACUAGUAGUAAGUGCAUGAAUGGGAACCCUUUAUUUGAAGUUGACUUAUGAAACACCUUUCUCAACCCUUUUUUAGUUCAUGAUAUUUUCAAUGGUGAUAAAGAGGGCUUUCUUAAUUUCGAGGAUGAAACCCUAGGAGAAAGUGAGAGUGGCCGAGACCUAAGCCCUUGGUUACGUCUCCCAUUCGAUCCCGGUAACUUCUUACGGUUUGAAGGAUGUAUAGUUGUUGGUCGGUCCACUUGUUUGACUGAUAUUGUUAUAUAUGUUAGGUGGACUUUACUUUCAAUUAGGUCACCACCCCUUGAUGGUGAUUCCUUUCGCCAACUCCUUUGUAAUUUUUUCUCUAAGUCCCGUGUGACUACAUUAAAAGAUGUGUGGUUAUAUCUCAAGUGUGUACCUCCUUGUCAUGUUGAUUUUGUUUAUUGUACUAACUCUAACUCUCAUGUCAUAAGGAUGUGGUGCUUGUUUGUCUUCUCUUUAUUCUUGCAAGGUUUGGAUUUGAGGUCGAAUCCUUUUCAAGAAGGGAAGGAUGAUACAAGUCAAAUGGCCACCUUAAUUUUUGAAGACAUGAUUGGAGGUCAUCAUUUAAAGGCUCAAGACUUGGUCACCCCGAGGGCACAAGAAUAUGCAAGGAAGACCCUUUUUGAGCACAAGCAAGGCCGUGUGUGGAAGAUUGCUUGUAGCAUCGAA
Molecule: long non-coding RNA, 82154 nt
Filed under: Capsicum annuum
Lineage: Eukaryota; Viridiplantae; Streptophyta; Magnoliopsida; Solanales; Solanaceae
Description: long non-coding RNA (CANN_LNC018340)
Source: RNAcentral